UUUGUUGGCCUUUUUCAUUAGGUACUUUCGGAUUCCGAAUCUGUUCGGUGGCUAAACCAUGCUGUUGAAAAAAUAUGGCCUAUUUGUAUGGAACAGAUUGCAUCACAGAAGAUUCUGCUUCCCAUCAUACCUUGGUUCUUGGCUAAGUACAAACCUUGGACUGCUGUAUGAAUUUUGCUUCUCUUAGUACUACUGUUUUAUUGGCUAUCUCUGGAAAAUUAGUACAUAAAGAUUCUGAUUUAGUAAAAUGUUCAAUUUAGUGCAAGAAUUAUGAACAAUUUGUACUUUUUCAAGACUUGCAUUAGCUCCUAUGAAGUUACUUUCAAUGACCAUCAGAUGAUUAUUUUUUGAUCCAUUUUGGGUGUGUUUGACUGAAAUGCUGCUAUACCUGCAGAAGAAAGCUGUGGUUCAGCAUUUAUAUUUGGGAAGAAAUCCACCUUUGAUCACGGAGGUGAGAGUUCUUCGUGAAUGCUCUGAUGAUGACCACUUGGUAUACCUUCUCCCUAACUCCUCUCUGUUGGCUAUGAUUUCUUGUUUCAAUUUUGCGGAUGAUAGAACUUUCAAUUUCUCGUUGCAGGUACUGGAGUUGGGAAUGAAUUUUCUCACUGCUGAUGACAUGAGUGCGAUUCUUGCUGUGAAACUACGGAAAAGACUGGGAUUUGGGAUGUGGGCAAAGUUGCAUGUAACAGGCAUGCAUGUUGAAGGAAAGGUAUUAAUAAAAAUGGAAUGGUAUUAGCUAUAUUCAAUUUGCACAUUAAAAGAGUUUAUAGUCAGUCCUAAGCAGUUGUUAAUCGGGGGAAUUUGCAUGGCAUCGCAUAGUUCGGGCCCCAUCCUGCCCCCUGCAAAUUCUUAACUUUAUUGACUUACUGUAGUUAACUGGCAUUUACUCCGUGUUUCAGGUUUUGGUUGGGGUGAAGUUUAUCCGGAAGUGGCCUUUCAUUGGUCGUCUGCGAGUAUGCUUUGCUGAGCCUCCAUAUUUCCAGAUGACUGUGAAACCUGUCUUUACGCACGGACUUGAUGUUACGGAACUUCCAGGGAUUGCUGGAUGGCUUGUAAUAACUCUUUUUCCUGAAAUAAAUAUUCAACUUAUAUUUUAUGUUCUUUUCCUUCCUCUCAAUCUUAUUGUGUAUCCUCUUUUGCUUGCGUAGGACAAGCUUCUCUCGAUAGCAUUUGAGCAGACACUUGUUGAGGUUAGUUUUCCUUAACUCUAAUUGCCAUACCAUGGCAUAAAUUCCAUCUUAUAUUCCACAAAUGCAUAUCGUAGUUUUAGAAUGCACUUACAGGUUUAAGUUACCCGCAGCUUUCUUCUCUAUCGAACUUUAGCUCCUAAUAUUUGUUUAUUUUGCAGCCCAAUAUGCUGGUUGUGGAUGUUGAGAAGUUUGCUUCACCCAUUCCAGGUGAUUUUUUCAUUAUUUUCCAGUAUUUCGUUGCUCUUCUAUUUUACUUAUAGCUCUUUUCGGGUCAUUAACUCAUUACCAGUUCAGCUGUUUUCACGAGUCAAUUUUUCUCAUUCACCUUUUUGUUGGUUCUGUCCGACAGAAAAUUGGUUUUCUGUCGAUGAGAAGCAACCUAUUGCUCAUGCCAAGGUUGAAGUUAUUGAAGGAUCCGACAUGAAACCUUCAGAUUUAAAUGGUCAGUUUUAAAUCCAUUAUCUUACUUUUUCCAUCAUGUAAAAUGCAUGGUUUUAUGGUCAUUGAUUGGAUAUAAAAUUUUCAGGAUUGGCUGAUCCAUAUGUGAAAGGGGCACUUGGCCCGUAUAGAUUCAGGACUAAGACGCACAAGAAAACUUUGUCUCCGAAAUGGCACGAGGAAUUUAUGAUUCCCGUCUGCUCCUGGGAGGCUCCUAGCGUACUGAUUAUUGAAGUUCGUGACAAAGACCAUUUAUAUGAUGAUAGCCUUGGGUUUGUCUCUGAAUCUCUAAAAUAACCAUAUUGCCUAUUUUGCUUUUUGAGCGCCACUGCGUUUGCAGUUUCUGCACUAUGUCGACAACCCUUUCCAAUACGCAUUAGCUCAUCUUAGAAAUAGUGCCCUUUUAGAUGUUUUUGAUCCGUGAUAUAUGACACCACUAUUUGUUUUUCAAAUUCCUUAUGACUUGUUUAAGACUCUCAAAUGGUGUACUGAUUUGCUGUGUUUACAGUAAGUGCUCGGUAAAUAUUACUGAACUUCGGGGUGGCCAGAGACAUGACAUGUGGUUGCCUCUUCAAAAUAUUAAAAUGGGAAGACUGCAUCUCGCAAUAACUGUUCUCGAAGAGAACGCUAAGGUAAUUUAUUCUAUGAUCCACAAUAAACUUGGAAAGUUUUAAAUUGUAACCUUGCGUGCAAAUUAUGAUUAUGAGUUAAAAUGUGCCGAGAAACUUAAAAAGGAUGUGUGGACAGUUUACGCAGGUAAGUGAUGCUGCUGCAGUUGAUGCUUUUGACGAGGAAGCCUUAAACAAGGAAGAUAUACAAAACUCAUUUGCAAAUAUAGAUGUGAAUAAUGGUUUAUUCUCGCCUACGUCUUCAAAGAAAUCUCCAACCCUGCCGGAUCAUUUAGAACCGAUAGAUGUUGAAGGACAAGAAGAAACUGGGAUAUGGGUCCACCACCCCGGAAGUGAAGUGUCACAAACUUGGGAACCUAGGAAAGGGAAGGGUAGAAGCCUUGAGACACAGGUUCAUAAAGUGCCUAAUAGUUCAUUUGGCAGCACCAUCUCAGCUGCAUCUGGAUCCUCUAAAAGUGAUGACAGCAGCGCCGAGGAAAACCAUAAUCCUAAGAAUCGAGUCAACACAGUUAAGCAGGGUUUACGGAAGAUCGGUUCUGUAUUUCAUAGGAGUCCCAAGAACGAGGGUCACUCAGGCAACCUCGGAGAAGUUCCAUCUCCCCAUGAAAACCUCAGAGCAGUUAAUGACAAGGAGAUUUUGGUGAAGUUUGUAGUCGAUGACAAUCUUUCGGCUGAUAAGGUCUCAAACGAAGGAAGCUCGAGUCCUGGAGCAGAAAGCCCUGGAAAGAUGAAAGACAUGGCGAAGAGUAUUCUAAAACAUGCCGAGAAAUCUGCUCGUAGCAUAAAACAUGUUAUUUCUCGUAAAGGGUCGAAAAAAUCACGCAAUCUAUCAUCUGUGGAAGAACAAGAGUUUCCAAUAGAAUCUGACGACUCCUCCGAUGAUGAUGAAUCUUCGUCAUCCCCCGGAGUCAAGGGAAUACCAAUUCUUUCCAAUCACAUGCCCAGCUCCAGCGGCAACGACGAUACUCAGGAGCAUGUCAUUUUGACAGAUUCAAACUACCAGUUGAACCCUGAAACAAAUGUUAAGGAACAAGUAGAGAAAACAAGCGUUGAAGGACACAACAGCAUAGAUGACGAAGAUGUGAACAAUCCCAUUAAGCUCGGUAAUGGAACGAGCAACAUAGAUGACGAAGAUGUGAACGAUCCCAUUAAGCUCAGUAAUGGAACGAAUGAACCACCCUUGAAACCAAAUCCUUCGGAGAGUGGGAAAAAGGUAGAAGACACUCCUCAAACAGAUACCAAAGUUUAGGUUCAGUGUUUGUAUGUGCAUCCAUAAUAGAAGACUUUGAAAGAGUUUUGAAGAACAAUGGGUAUGGUCCAGCAAUAUAGAGUUUUAGAUGGAUAAGCAAUACAUAAUACAUUUACACGUGUUCCCUGUAAAAAUCUCCUUUGUUUGAUUUCUCAUAUUUGUUAUAUACAGCACAUCCAUCUUUGUAGAGUUCCAAAAUGAAAACAGUUUGUACAAGUUGAUGGUUUUUAAAACUUCUAUUCAAGUUAUUUAUUUAUUUUUAAUUUAAAAUUCAUAAUUUAAUUGUCAAUCAUAUGUCAAAAUUGGCCGUUAAUAACCGAUUUUGAUUUUAAGCAAGGAUGAUUGCAUAUUUUUACAUCCAAAAUACAAGAUAAAUUAAAAUAAAAGUUGGUAAAACUUGCCAAAUAUUGUCUCUAACACAUAGGUUUCCGAAUAUUCCAACGAGAUAAAUUAAAAUAAAAUUAAUCACCCUACUUUAGUCAUCAAAAUUUAAUGAAAUAACAAUUAGAUUUAAUUAUGUCGUUUAAACAUUUUGCUACAUUUGAGAAUAAUCCCUUAGUUUGAGCAUUUCAGAGUUUUGGAGAACAAUGUAUAUAUUAUCUUACAAGCUCAGAGAUGAGACUGUACUUGUUCCCAGCUCGAAACCGAAAUGAUUUAUAACAGGUUGCAACCGGAAGCUUUGCUACUAUCAGACUCCUUCAAACAUUAAUUCUUCUGAAUUUCCGCAUUAUGUUGCAUAAAAAUGUUAUUUCAAGAGAGCUAACAUUUCCACCAAUCGUAUUAUGCACCGUUCGCAUACAAACGGGUCCAUUCCUUAGCUGCAAAUAGUUAAGGAAACCAAGAACAUCAAUAGUAAGAAGCAUGGCAUAUCAUCUUUGAUUCUAGUAGUCAUCUAAGAUUGCAACCACAGGGUUUCACCUGUCUCGACGGCUUCGGCCUCGUUUAUUUUCCAGUGCUUAGCAAUGUUUUCCGAGAGUGGAUCAUCAGGAUUAGGAGCACUCAAGAGUGCUUGAAUGCUAGCAAUAACGAUAAUAAUUUCAGUAUUAACUUAAAACUUGAUCAAGAUACCGCAAUAACUUAAAUAACAUCUUCAACCCAGACAUUAAUGAAACCUCUUUCCAAGUAUUAAUAUGUACAUACGAAAAAGCAGUGAAGUCUUUCAUGCAGAACCGAAGCUACAUAAAUAGGGUUAUGUUGCACAAAAACUUAUAAUACCUCAAAAGUACAGUUCGAAUCUGGAGAGCCGGACUCCAUUUGUCUUUAAGAAUAUCGAGGCAUAUUCUUCCAAGCUGCAAGAAAGCUCAAUCCUUAGAAGCCAACAAAAUACAUCUUUAACACCAUAAAACAAGGACAAAAGAAGGAACAGGUAGAGCUGACCUUAUCGAUGUUAGGAUGAUAUAUCUUUGUAAGAAACCGGACCUGUUAUACCAAAUUUGUUCAGGUGGAUAAAAAUACAGAACAUACCAAAAAGGGCAAAACUAAUGGAAGAUGAAAAAAUUCUGAGAAACAAACAAGUCAAUCACCAUACUAGUAAACGUAAGAACAAGCAGUUUGAAAAGCCAGUGCAUAUAACAUACUAUUAAAUGUUCAUUUCCAAUUAAUAUUUUCCUCUCAAAUGUCAUUAAAAGCAAAUAAUGAUAUAGAACCAAAACUUCACCAUGUUGAAAGGAGAAUCAUACAUAUUUGCCAUAACAAUAAAGUAAAAGAGAAAUUCUGUUGAACCUGAAACUACUGGAACCGAUAAAACAACGUUCUCUACAUGCAAACUAGUGCAUCCCUAAUUCAUAUUAAAAUCCAAUAUAUAACAUUUUCAGAUGAAGUCGAUCAAUAUUGUAUAUCGAAGGAACAUCAAUCGAGCAAAUCCCAACAUAUGCAAAAAACAUGAAGGUCAUACUUGAAGAAUAAGUCACUGUUGAUUACCUUGGGAGCCGCCAUGGGAUAUUCUUCGGGCAAAAAUAGUUCCAACUUGAAAACCCCUCCUAAACAAAUAACCCAAACAAGAAAAUUCAUCAUAAUUCCAUACAUAAUGGAAAAUGAUAAAAAGGUGAUGAGAUAUUACAAAGCAUGCUAAUUGGCCUUAAAUUUCAACACAGAAAACACGGGUCCCUUUCUUUAUCUUUAAAAGAUGGAAAUGAAGUAAUAUAAACGCUGCAUAAUCAUUUUCUCAAAAGAAAAGAAAAAAAGAAGCAAACUUUAAGCAUAUGGAGGUUAUUUUAAUGACUAAAAAUUGGCUAUGGUGUCAAUCUUUAUGUAUUAAAUCAGCUGAGACCGAACUAUUAUACAAUAGCUUCUAAAAUUUUACAGCUCUAACACAAUGAAAAGUAUCAGCAACCAUCAGAUUAAAAAGAAAAUCAACUACCUUCAUAUGGAGAUUGUGUUGGACCAAGGAUCAUCACAUUAAAAUAUCGCAUAUUAUCCUCUGAUGGUGAGGCAUUAAUUCCAGGCGCUGUAUUUAAGGGGGAAAAAAACAAUAAACUCUUUUAUUUACCAGGAAAAGAAACCCAGAAAAUUCAACAAGAAAAAAAGAGAGCAUAGCAUUUACCUGGUUCACUGAGGAGACGCUGAGUUUCCUGUUUAGAUCAAAGAUUAAGAAACAAAAAUUAAGCAUGAAACAUUUACAAAAUUCACAGAAACAAACUAAGAACACUUAAAAUAAUUUGCUGAAGCUUUUGAUUCAUUAAAACCCAAAACAAUUCAGCUACCAGAUCAAACUCUAGAAACCCAGAAAAAAGAACACAAAAAUUAUGAGGCUUCUCAUGAAGAAACCGAGAAGGAUCAGAGUGAGACCGAAAAAGGAACCUUUAUGAUUCUUCGAGGGAGAUUACUGUUGGCCAUUGGCGAGAUCGAUUGCAAGAAAAAAAAAAGAGGGUUUUUGGGAUUUAGAAAUUGAGAGAAAAAGAAAAUAAGAAUCUUUUGUGUAUAUAUUAGUACUAUGCCCACCACGCGAGAAAAAGUAAAAUAGAAAGGAAAUUAUUUAAUGCGUUAAAAAUAAUAUUAAAAGGAAAUUACUUAACAUAAUGUUUAUGUAUAAAUAUAAAAAAAUAAUAUAUAUACUAGUAAUCUCGUUCGAAAAAAACAUUCAGGUCCCUUUCGAUCUCACUCGGUUUCUUCUUAGAAGAUUUUUUUUUUGGUUUAAUUUUGUGUGUUCUUCUUUCUGGGUUUCUGGAGUUUGAUUUGGUGACUGAAUUGGUUUGGGUUUUAAUGAAUCCAAAACUUCUGCAAAUUAGUUUCAGUCUUUUUAGUUUGUUUGCGUGAAUUUUCUAAAUGUUUAUUGCUUAAUUCUUUCUUCUUAAUCUUUGAUCUAAACAGGAAACUCACCGUCUCCUCAGUGAACCAGGUGAGUACUCUGCUUUUUAAUUUAAAAUUUGAAAUUCUUGUUGAAUAUUGUUUGCUAUCGUUUUUCGGUUUAAAUGUUAUGAGCUGAAAAAAAGUUAAAAAUUUCUGGGUUUCUUCUCCUGGUAAAUAAAAGAGUUCAUUGUUUUUUCUUUUUCCCUUAAAGAGUUGAUUGCUUGCUCUCAUAUACACUUCAACUUAUUGGUGAAUUAAUUUAGUUUUUCUGGUAUAAAUUUGAUCAACCCCAGGAGUUUGAUACAUUGACACCAUGAAAGAGGAACAACGCUUACUUCUUCUCCACUCAUCCUCACUCUUCUUUCCUCCUCAAGGUCUUUCCUUUCCUUCAAAAACCAAAAGAUACUUCUUUUCAAUUUUGUUGCUAACAAAAACAAUUAACUUUUUUAUAUUACUUUUUUGGUUUUUCAUAGGAGUGAAGCUAUCAUAUGGGACAGCAGGAUUCAGGGCAGAUGCAUCGAUCCUUAAAUCAACAGUUCACAGGGUUGGGAUAUUGGCUGCUUUAAGAUCACUCAAAACCCAAUCAGUUGUUGGAUUGAUGAUCACAGCUUCACACAAUAAAGUUACUGACAAUGGAGUCAAAAUUGUUGAUCCAAGUGGUGGAAUGCUCACUCAAGAAUGGGAACCUUUUGCUGAUCAACUUGCCAGUGCCCAAACUCCUGAAGCCUUCCUCUCAGUGAGUAGCCUCUUCUUUAUGUUUUUGGAUGCGCGUUUUAUUUGCUUUAUGGUAAUUCAGUGAAAUUGUUGCUGAAAGAUGAUGGGAAUUGAUGCAUUUUUAAAUAUAUUUCCAAAUUUUCUUGAUGAUUAAUGUUAAGGUGUUGUAUAAGAAACAAUAGCUUUCUUUCCCCUUGAUGAGAAUACAAUGUAUUAUGCAUAUAAUUAACAGAAAAAGUAAACCAACUAAUAUAGUCUAAAGAGCCCACUAGUAGUUGAAAAAAAAUUCCAAUAUGAAGUUAGAGUAGUUUGUGUAAGGUGAGACUUACAGUUGAGACCUAAUGGUUUUAGGAUCGUCACCUUACCACUGAGGCAAGGUCAGUUGAGAAAGCAACAACCGUUUUGAUACUAUAGUUUAUGUUUGUUUGAUGAGCAGUAGUGAACUGAAGGUGUAAUAGUUUUGUUUAAGCUCAAAAAGUAUGCUAAAUUUUAGUAGUGUUGUGUAUUUGAUAUAAAUGGAGAGGGAUUUUUAGGAAAGGGAUGGUGAGUUUGAAGAGCGGAUUUAAAUUCUAUGUUAAAUGUGACUAGAAAUGCAUAUUAUACUUAUCAAUUGUUUGUUCAUACAACAGCUCAUAACAGAAUUUGUAGAGAAGGAAAAAAUUCCAUUAGAUGGAGUGCAAUCUGCAGAGAUAUUGUUAGGAAGAGACACCCGGCCUAGCGGAGAAUCCCUCCUUGAAGCUGCAAAGCAGGUACACUUUUUUCAAUCAACAGGGGAUUGCUGAAACUUUGAUAAUUUUCAUUGUGAUGUUAAAUGCAUCUAUCAUUUGCUAAUAUCUGUCCAUUUUUUAGGGAAUAAGUUCAAUUCAUGGAGCUAUUGCUCUUGAUUUAGGAAUUUUAACAACCCCACAGCUGCAUUGGAUGGUUCGUGCUAGGAAUAAAGGCAUGAAAGCGACAGAACCUGCCUAUUUUGAACAGAUUUCAAGCUCCUUCAGGCUAGUUGAAGCUUCAGGGUUUUUUGUAGCCAUUUUUUAGCUUGAAAUUAUACUACUUACAGUAAUGUACUAUUGUUUAGGUGCUUGGUAGAUUUGAUCCCAAAUGAAACCAAAAGCAGCAAGAUGGAUAACACAGUUGUGGUUGAUGGGGCUGAUGGUGUGGGUGGAGAGAAACUUGAAGUUUUGAAAAGUAUGUUAACCAGUUUAGUUAUCGAGGUUCGUAAUACUGGUAAAGGUGGGGGUCUAUUGAAUGAUGGGGUUGGUGCCGAUUACGUACAGAAAGAGAAGGUUGUUCCACGUGGAUUUUGUUCCAAUGAUGUUGGAUUAAGGUGUGCUAUCUCUUCAGAUUUGGGAGUAAAUUACUGUUAUCAACUGUUUAUAAGCUAAUUAUUCUUGCAUCUCACUGAAUUGUUGAUCAAAGGUUAAAGGCACAUUAAACAUGUAACAAAUUUGUGAUAUUCUUUUCUUUUUGUAACGAGUGUGUAUAAUUAACAAUUUUUCGAUGGUUUGGUAACUGUCUAGUUAGCAAUGCUUCAGGAAGUGAUUACUAACCAGACACUUGAUCAUUCAUUGACUAGUACAACAACUAGUUUGGAUAAUUGAUUCAUGAUGGUAUUUGAUAGCAUUUUUACCAUACUAAUGUUUCUAGUGUAUGUUUUGAAAUCUGGUUGUGCUCUUAACUAUUGUUUCUCAGGUGUGCAAGUUUGGAUGGUGAUGCUGAUCGCCUUGUAUAUUUUUCGGUCCCAACUAGCAGUAGCAGAAAAAUUGAUCUUGUUGACGGGGACAAAAUAUUAUCCUUGUUUGCAUUGUUCAUCAAGGAGCAACUAAGUAUUCUGACCAAGGAGGGCACUGAAAAACUUGAUAAUAGUUAUCAUGCUCGACUUGGUGUUAUACAGACAGCUUAUGCUAAUGGAGCAUCCACUGAUUAUCUCAAACAAUCGGGUUUGGAAGUCAUUUUUACUCCUACAGGGGUAAAACACUUGCAUGAGAAAGCUGCUCAGUUUGAUAUUGGAAUCUAUUUCGAAGCCAAUGGUCAUGGCACUAUCUUGUUCUCUGAAUCCUGGUUGUCUUUGUUAGAGGCCAGGAACAAUGAACUAGGUUUGGCAUCUGAAGGUAAUUUAUGAAUAAAGUCCUUUUCUAUAGAAGAAUUAUCUAUUAUAGUUUAUCGAGUAUUAUUGUCAUUUUUUUCUCAGGAUCCGAACAACAGAAAGCUGCUCUAAGACUACUCUCUGUCAGUAAAUUGAUCAACCAAGCUGUUGGAGAUGCUUUGAGUUGCUUGCUUUUGGUUGAGGUUAUUUUGCAACAUAAGGGUUGGUCCAUACAUAAAUGGAAUGAACUUUACCAGGAUUUACCUAGUCGACAACUUAAGGUCAGUUUUCUUCAUCACUCUUGGAAAAGAAACAAGGGUAGUCUUUCUCAUCUAUAGAAGGGAUCAUAUCUACCUUUUCUUGCUAGUUUUCCAUAUUUUGACUAAGACCUUUUCUUUUGUACGUUACACCUAAGACAUCUUAAAACUCGUUGAAGAGAUGGACCGUUUGAUCUUCUAUAUGAAGGAGAAAGUAUGCUUCACGUCUGUUGAAAUUGAAAAGGAUUCAUAUAGUCCUCAAUAGAGAGGCUGAGUUUGAGGGCUUCUAACCAAAACUACUAGAGUUUGGCUAGUAUAAGCAUGCAACAUUAGCUUAAUAAUAUUAGAUUUACUACAUGAGAAAGAGAAAAAAGGGGAAAUCUUUGAUACAACUGAUUUCCGCAUGCUGCAUCCUCUUUAUAAUGUUUUUCUUGUAAACUCUGCUAUUGUGUAGUCUUACAUUAGCAAUGCUCAAACUAUUUAAUGUUUCCAUUGCUUGUGCUAGGUCAAAGUUGUAGACAGAACAGCCGUUGCAACAACAAAUGCCGAAACUGUAGCUAUUAGUCCCCCUGGCAUUCAAGAAGCCAUUGAUGCUGAAACUGGUAACAUUUUUGUCAUUGAUCUCUUCUCAAUUCAUGUUUUGGUGCUUAUGCUUGGGCUUAUUUUAUGGUUCAAUUAACAUCUCACUAUUGGGGGAAUAUUUUUCUCUUAAGUCUCUUUUGAGGCUUCGUGUAUAUUAACUAUUUCUGAAAACUCAUACAAAAUGCAGCGAAGUACCCUAAAGGCCGGUGUUUCAUACGGCCAUCAGGUACAGAGGAUGUCAUUCGUGUUUAUGCAGAAGCCUCCACCCAAGAAGCUGCAGACAGCUUGGCCGGUUCUGUUGCCAAAAUUGUUGAUCGUUUUCUAGGUUUUAGCAGCUCUCAGCAGUAGCUUCCCUAAUCUUUCACAUUAUAACAGAAAUCACAAAUGGAGACGCAGAUUACUGUGGGUGCUUUAUAUUGAUUCUUUGUUUUGAAGGUAAUAUAUUUUAUUAUACUUUUUUAUAACAUUAAACUUUGUCAUCUUACUUUUACAGGCAUUGAUUUCAAAUUGAGUUUUCCCCACUACUUUGAACACUACAGAGUUCCUUUUCUGUUCGGUAUCUACUCGUUUAUGUAAAUGCUUCCCUGUGCGGUAAAAGUACCCCACAAUCUUUCUCCUUCAUCCCUUGCCCUUCUUUUUACUGGUUGAUGAAAUGGUUAACUCCUUUGGCUGACAAUUCCGGCUCCAACCGAGUAAUCCAUUUGGUGAUGGGCAAGGAACACAUUGGUUUUCCUCCCAUCUGUGCCCCAUAAUGAGUUCCUAGAGAAGAUUGUAAUGUCUCUUCCCAAGCAUGUCAAACGACCUUGUCAUAGUAGGUAAAAAGCCUUCAGGUUCCCGUCGGCCUUGUCAAAAUGAGAACCUUUUGCCGAUCAACUUCCCAAUGCCCAAACUCUUGGAAGCUCUCCUCUCUGUGGGUAACAUUUUGUGUUUGUGGAAGUGGGUUUUAUUUGUUUUAUAGUAAUUCACUGAAAUUAUAUCAAGAAACUAUUGGAACAUCCGGAAAUAUAUUUGAGCACCUCCAACUUCUAAUAAUUAACAAAAAAAAAAACCUUUUGUGCUACAGGGUACAGUCUUUUUUAUAUUCAACAUCACCAUAAGCAUUACUUUUCAACAUCAAAUUAUGUUUAUCCAAUUCCUCAAGUAAAAGGUUAACCAACGAGGAAUCAAAAAAGAAAUGCCAGUCCUUUAUCAUUAAAUAUUUAAAGUGUUAAUAAACAAAUCCAUCCACCAAUCCAUCAAAAACAAUGUGAAACUGAACAAUGAUGUACCAUUUCCCUGAGAUCCUUCCCAUAUAAGUCUUGAAGAGCAUCACACUCCACCAAUCUAUCUCCUUCGCUCACUUCACACAAAAUUUCCAUUGUAAGAACAAAAAUUUUAUUUACUCGAGUUUAAAAAGGUUAAAAACAAUUAGUUUAACUUUUUAAUUUUAAAUUGAAUCGAUUGAAUCGAAUAGUUUGAUCUAUGAACAAUAAACUAACAAAUAAAAAUAUAUCCCGUCACAUAAUUAUUUUAAGUGUGUUAUUUCAAAAUAAAAAUCUUAAAGUUUUGAUAGUUAUAAAAGGAAUUAUUUAGUUAAUUAUUAAUAAUCCACCAACAUGACAUGUUAUAGUAUAUGAUCAAAAAUAUUUUCCUAUAAAAAUAUUUAAAAUAAUUAAUAUAAUAAAAAAUAUGUCUCCUUAGUGGGGGUUUUAAAUUUUAAUUAAUCCGAUUUAAAUAACUAUAUAUAAAUAUUAUUAAAUUUUAAAUAUAAAAUAAACCGAAUUUAAAUUCAACCAAACCGGUUCAUGGGCCUGAUACGAGCCCACCGUUUUUCUUCAACAAACCGCGAAAGAGCAGAUAGCGAGAGUGAUGUUUAUAGACAAACGGCCGAGAGAAUGACAAUACACUCACCAGUCACCAAACCAGCAAACCAAACAAAGGAUAACAUUAAAAAUGAACACUUAUAAAGAUAUCUUCUAGAUUUUGCUUAUUAAAGCUUUGAUUUGAUCGUUUCCUCGAUCUCAUUUUAUAUUUUUAAAAUUAGUCUCAAACCCAAACCACCCCAUUCAGCGGAAUUGACAAUGCUGCUUAACGUGGGUACUUUCAUAAGAUCAGCUUCUCGAUUUUCUCCUUUCAUUAUAACCCAUUCUUCUCUUUCUUCUCCUUCUUCGUUUUGUUUCAGUUUCUCUCCAAAGCAAACCGUCUCUUUUGCUCUACAAUCAUCACAAAUGGCGUCUUUUACUACGUUAUCUCAAUCGCCUCCAAAGCUAUUGUUUCGUCAGUUGUUCGAGAAAGAAUCAUCUACUUAUACUUACCUCCUUGCUGAUUGUUCCCACCCGGAUAAACCAGCGCUUGUAAGUGUUUUUUUUUUCUUAAUGAAAAUAAAAUCUGGGUUUUGUUUGCUUUUGGGUUAUUAUUAUUAUUAGUAUUUGAUAUAUGGUGAAAAUGGGUGUGUGCAGUUGAUUGACCCUGUAGACAGGACUGUUGAUAGAGAUUUAAAUUUGGUUAAAGAAUUGGGGUUGAAGCUUAUUUAUGCUAUGAACACUCAUGUACAUGCUGAUCAUGUUACUGGAACUGGCCUCAUCAAGGUUUUCCCUUUCUCACUUUUACUCUACCCUGUUCUCUAUAUUUUUGGGGUUAUUAGAGAAAUAAAGUCUACUAUCAGUCAAUUUUGUUACUUAAGACUUGAGACUGUUGAACUGGAUAAUUCAGGUUCUAGUCAUUCAGGGGAUGUUAUUGUCUCUUAGAUUGAUGUAUAUGAAUGUGAUUGUUCCUUUUAGGGCAAGGUGCCUGGUGUCAAAUCCGUUAUUUCAAAGGCCAGUGGUUCCAAGGCUGAUGUUUUUGUUGAACCUGGUGACAAGAUCUCUUUUGGGGAUCUCUUUCUUGAGGUAGGCCCGUGUACGCAAAACUACUUGUUCUGUCAGUUUCGUUGUAUGGAUCUUUUUAAACAAUUCGGGAGAAUAUAGCUAUGAUGUUGCGGUGGUUUACGUAUUGCUGGCUCAUUAUGAAUUCUUUGUUUUUUUUUUUUUUUUGAAGAAAAGCUCGUUAUGAAUUCUAAAAGAUGAAAAAGAAAAUAGAGUUAGAGAUGUGAGUAUACUGUGUAGGUAAUCAUGACCAGCAUUCCAAUGGUUUUGUUAUUUAAUUGGUAAUUUGGUUUGUUGUUUUGAUUACACCCUAACUUCCAAUGUGGUUUAACUGGCAUUAUUGAAUGAUGACCAUUAGGUCUACUGCAGUACUAUCUUCUAUAAUAUGGUAAUAAUUGCAGGUUCGUGCUACUCCUGGUCAUACAAUGGGUUGUGUUACCUAUGUCACGGGAGAUGGACCUGAUCAACCUCAGCCAAGGAUGGCUUUCACAGGAGAUGCUCUGUUGAUAAGGGGAUGUGGGAGGACAGAUUUUCAGGUAUAAUGUCUUGAAAAUGUUAUUGCAGCUAAUCGCAAAAAAAUGGAAUGAAUUAAUAUUAAUGUCAUUAAUACAAAAGGAGCAGUCUAAAUUAAAAUGUUAAGCAUGUAAACCAAUCUUGGCUUUUCUUAUGCAUUUUAAAAUUUUUGUAUGUCCCCAUGUGAUGUUUGGAUUAGGAAUGUAUAUUUAUCCACUGAUAUGUGUCCCAGGAAGGGAUUCUUGAACCGAUAAUUGAUUGUUUUUGCAUUUAAUUUGCAUGCCCUAUUUGUAUUUCAAACAAUAGGACCGCUGCGUAGAUAUCUAACUCUUGGUUACCUAUUUGUCUAGUCUUCUACUUAUCGGUGCUUACCUUGUUACUGUGGUUGCACAUAAAGUGUUUGUCAUUCACAAGCCUCAUGGUAAACUAAUCAGUAAUUAAAUCAUCCUUGAAGUAAAAGUUUGAACUAUCAGGGCUAUACUUUUUGCAACGGAUUUUCAGUCGUGAGUACAUAAAUGCUGGUCUUAUAUGCUGGCAAUUUCUUUCCAUCUGGAUGUCAUUGUCAUGGAUAUUUCUGUCUUCCAGGAUUUUUGUUAUACUCAAGUUUUUAAGAUAAUUUUCUCUAAUGCUCCCACAUUCAGUAGCCAUUGACUAGCACUGAUUAACGCAUUUUGCAGGGUGGAAGUUCACAGCAACUCUACAAGUCAGUGCAUUCACAGGUAAGGACAGGGGACUUUUUAUGGUCCCAUUCUUUGAGUUCUCAAAAUUUUAUUAAUUGUCAAAUUUUGAAUAAAAAUUAUGGACUUAUUUGUUUCAUGGAUCCAGAUUUUUACAUUACCGAAAGAGACAUUGCUAUAUCCAGCUCAUGACUAUAAAGGAUUCUCAGUAAGAUAUAAAACUUUAUUCCUAUCAUUUCUUACAUAUAUAAAUGAUUGCUUGAUUUUAUAAACCUCAUUGAUUAUAGGUAACCACUGUGGGAGAGGAAAUGCUAUAUAAUCCACGCUUGACAAAGGAUGAGGUAUUCUUUCUGGAACCAUCCAUCUUCAUUUUUCUUUCGAAAAUGGCUUGCUACUUUUGACAAUAGAAUGCCUGUUUUCAUUUCAGUGAUAAGAAAGGGUUUCCUUUUGUCCAUGAAGUCUUUUAUGAUCUAACUUGUAUAAGCUGCAUAUAACUUCUGUAAUUAAAAUUACAUAUGCAUUGAACAUUUCUUGCUGAGCAUUGGUUUGAUUCUCUUGGACGGGACUAUUCCAAUGAACAUCGCCAUGGUAAAACAGGAAAUCAUGAAAAAGCAUGACAUCUCAAUACCUUCACGCAUUUGAUUGAAGAUUACUCUUUAUUAUGGUCAUAGAAUACUAGUUUCAAUUUGUCCCAUCAAUAUGUCUGAUUAUAUUAUUUGUUGAAUACCCUUUUUGCAGGAGACUUUCAGAAACAUCAUGGAAAGUAAGUUGAUGCUCAAUAUAUCCAGUCUAUAAAGAUUAUUAAAAAAUAAAAGCAUCCUCGGGUAUUUUCGGGUCGCCGGUUCUAAUUUCUCCUCUGUUUUUGUUGGUGCAACAGAUCUUAACUUGGCAUAUCCUAAGAUGAUUGAUGUUGCAGUGCCAGCAAAUAUGGUUUGUGGGUUGCAAGAUUUGGAACCUAAAGCCAACUGAGGCUUUGCUGGAUCAUCCAUAAGUGUGCACAGAUUUUAGUUGUAGUAUAAUUCUGGAUCUUAAUAUCACUGGAUAUGCUAAAUAAAAUGGCUAGAGAAGCCACGUGAUUGCAAGGAAUCCAUAAAUUAUAUAUACUAUAUCAUAUUGUAAUCAUGUAAUAUUGUCGUCCUUCUAUCUGCAUCAACUUGUGUUGUUCAUACAUACCCUCCUAAGUUACCGAACUUUCUAUCUGCAUCAACUUGUGUUGUUCAUACAUACCCUCCUAAGUUACCGAACUAUCUAAACAAGACAACACCAUGAUAUAUCAUAUAUCCUUUAUUAUUGGACCAACCAUAUUCAGCCAUAUCCUUUACAUUUCUGAAUUCGAUCAAGUAGAACUUAUUAGUAGGUAUAAGCUAUGAUUUGAAUUUGAUUUCAAGAUAUAUAACGAAUUGUACAAAUUUGUUGGAUUAACUUUGAUUUUAAUUUCAAUAUUAUAAUUUGAAUUCAAAUUAAUAUUAAAAAAUUUCAUUAAAAAUUAACUCGUGAAUUCUUUUUUCAAAAUAAAUAUUAUAUUAGAAUCAAUAACUUAAACUGACUCGAUUAACCGAAGCGAAUAAGGAAUAAUUUAGAUUCACAAGAUGUGUCAUUUAUAGCCCAAAUUAAAAUGUAAUAAUAAGUUAAAAUUGCCAAACUGGGUAUGAUAGGCAGUAGGCAGCUUCCUGAAUCCGAUCCUAACGCUCAAUUUUCUAUAGUUGAUUGAUCACCAUAACCAGAUCCCAUUUCCCAAUCUAGAAUUUCCCUGGGAGGAGAAAUGAGUAAUGAAGAUAGAAACAGAGGUGUAGCUGUAGAUAAACAGCAGCAUAACCAAUAUGGAACAUUCCAAGGAGUUGCCAACUACCCUCCUCCACGGCCUCCACGUCCCCACCACCACAACCCGCAUCCGCACCAGCACCAGCACCAGCACCAGCACCAGCACCAGCACCAGCAACAGCACCAUGGGCCAACUAUUGGGUUUCCUCCACCUGCCUCUAUCGCUCCUCCUCAGUAUUACCCCCAAGCCUACCAUACCGUGCCGGGUAUUCUACAAAUAUGAAAAAACCUUCUUCUCUUUUUAUUAGCUUAUCGAAAUGAAGGAUUUUGAGAUUUGGGUUUUUGUUAGAUGGAUGGUUAAUGAUAUUUUUUAGAUGAAAGAUACAAGUUUUUUAAUGUUUUAGAAGAAAAGGUGUUUCAAUAUUAGGAGUUUUUUAGCAGAGAAAGAAGAUAAGUAAAUGCAUAGAGAUACAUUAACAAUAUUAUUUGGAUUUGGUUGUCAAAUGUAUUGAAGAAUUUUUUAAAGUGUGGGAAGAUUCAAAGUUCUAUUAUAGCAGAUAUAUAUAUAUAUUUUAAUGGUUUAAGAAGAAUGGAAGUCGGUUUCAAAGGAAGAUGAGAAAUAAAAGCAUUUAUAUAUACGAUAUGUCAUUAAUUCAUAAACCAAAUAUAUAAAAUAUGUAAAAGUGUCAGGGGUUAAUCAUGGUGUUUUGACAAGCCGGUAACCUCCAACUUGAAGAAAACCUUAGGUUUCUAAAAUUUAUGUGAAGAGUUAGAAUGGUAUGCUUUGUGGAUCUGAAUAACUAGAACAGUGUAAGAGUGGUAUACUGUGUCAAGUUUGGUUUCUUGUAUAUAAUUGUAUCGAAAACAAUGUUACAUGAGUUAAAAUGAAUGUUCAACCAAUUUAACAAAGCCUGCAUUAUGUUGAUCAAAAUUUUUAAUUCAUGUUGAGGUUUCUUCCGUGAUAUCUUUGAUGUCAAGGUUAUGAUGUUGCUGAAGGAACACCUGUAAGAGAUAAGCUACCGUGCUGUGGCAUUGGAUUCGGAUGGUUCUUGUAAGUGUACAUAGUUUUCUUUGUUUUUAAAGAGUUCUUUACAUAUGAAGUAAAACAAGUAGCAACUUGAUGUAUAUGUCAUUAUGCUUUAACUUAAGCAAAUCAUUUUCCUUUAUCUCUAAUUUCCAUUUCUUUAAAAGAAAAAGAGGGAGUUUUGUAGUUUACAGUUUGGACAAAUGGAAGUUAAUAUAAUGCACUAUUUCGAUGGAGAUAUCCAAUCAUAUUGGAUGAAAUGUUAUAAGAAACCUGUGAGUUCAUAUUGGGUUUACUUUAUAUCAUAAUUAGAUUGUUUAUUUCACGUUGCUACUUGUUAAACUAUACCACUUUCACAUUCAUACGUGAAAUGGCUGGGAUUUAGUGCCAUUCUACUUAGCAGCCUCGUGUAAUACACAGGUGAAAUGUUUAUGUCUUCAUGUCACCUUAAAGUUCCCAUUUCCAUGACGGUAUUGUUAAGUAAAGACUGGUACAACCCCAAAAUACGGAAAUUGUUUUGGAUGUAUACUACUUUACCAUGCAUGAUUUUCUACAAGUUUGCAUGAUAUUUUAUUACUAUAUUGGUCGUUAUUUUCUGUACUCGCAGCUUCCAUUAAUAUAUUUUUAUGAAUUUUGAACUUUCUUGUUUAAUAAGUAUGCUGCUUUGAAGGUUCAUCAUUGGUUUCUUCAUUGGGGGCCUUCCCUGGUAUAUUGGAUUCUUUGUUUUACUUUGUGCAAGGAUAGACGACAGAGAGAAAGCAGGAUAUAUUGCUUGCACAAUUGCCGUGAGUAUCUUUUCUAUCAGUAUUUUUUCUUUUCCAAUUUUAUGAAAGCCAUCCUUCCUGCCUUGUAUGGGUCAUCAAUUUAACCAUUAUAUAUAUGUGUAUCUUAUGUAUUUGUACCAUGUUUUAUCUUCAAUGCAAAUAUAAGUUAAACUACAAAGAUUGGAUUGUUAAAAAAAAUUUAAAAUGUUAAAAAAAUUGAAAAUUUUGAUUUUGUAAGAAUGAUAGAAAACCAAGGCCAGUGCUUGCAUAUGUUAUCUACUACAUGCACAAUCGUGUCGAUGUCUGUCUAUAUGUUUCUUGUUUAGAAAUCGUGUUCAAUUGGGUUACGAUAUGUACUAUUGAAGUGUCAAUUUAUAAUUUCCUUAUCAAGAUUACACAUUUUUUUGUUAAUAUUCGGAAAUCACUCAAUGGUUAUAAACCCUGCUUGGAUACUGUCCACAAAGUCUAGUUGGAACAUCCCUUGUAUGCUUUGUCCUUUCUAAGAACUUUUCCUUUCCAUCAUUUUCGCUUCUGUUUUUUUUUCUUCCCUCUACUUUAAGUCAUUAUCUAACGUAGAUAUCCCUUGUAUUCUUUGUCCUUUCUAUGGCAAUCGAGUCAAUUGAUGGCAAGCCAAAAAAAAAAAGAACAGCUAUCCUGUCUUAAUCGAUUGCCAUCCCUCCUGUUAAACACCAUUAAGAAAAGGAAAAUUUUAGUUAAGCUUUAAAACAGCCAUGAUUUAACGAUGUUGGUGAUGGUGCUUGUGCAGGCCCUUCUUGCUACAACUACAAUUAUUCUUAGUGCAACAAUUAAAGCUGGUGGGUGAUAAAGCACCUCUUUUGACUGAGAGAUGUAUAUGUUCCCAAAUAAUAUGUAUAUGCUCCCCCCCCCCCUCUCUUUAUUUUAUUUUAUUUUAUUUUAUUUCCAGUAAGUUAUUGUUUAUGAUAAUUUGCAACAAAUGUUUUUGUCAUUAUUUUGUUGGUGAAUGAUAAUAAGAUUAAACUCUACUUUCUUAAGCUCCAAUUCUUUAAAGUUGGUGAUUUUUUAUUAUAGUUGAGUCAUUGUAUGGCAUUAAUAUAAUUUAUGUCGCUUAAAAUUUAUUACUAAAAAUGUAAAAUUUAAAUUUUACUUCAAUUUAUUUGUAUUUAUAAAUGGUUAAUUCAAACUUAUUUUUUUCCUCAUUAUAUUUUAUAUUUAAAUUAACAUUUAAACUAUUUUUCAUUAGCAAUGCUGUUAUUAAUUAUAUUUAUUAGCAACAACAUCAAACUUACAAAAAAUUAAAAUUUUAACUAUCUUUUAAAAAUAUUUUUAGCUAUUUAUCAUCAUAGAGAAAAAAAGGUGAGGUCACCACGCCUCAUGCUUAGACACCACAAGCUAGACUCUCAAGUCUCAUCACCUGUAUUUAUCAUCGAUUCAAAUUUUUAUGUCUACUGUAUUCCAGAACUACCUAAAAAUAUAUAUUCAAGCUUCCUCUGGUUAAGUUCAUUGAUAGUCAACUUACUAUUAUUUCUUAAAAAAAAAAAAAUUGGUUAAUAGUAAUAUCAAUGAUUCAAUUUUAUUCUUACCAGUAUCUGUCCUUUAGAAAGGGACUUAUAAAAGAGAUAGAGGUGAGUAAACUUGAGCUUCAGCUUUCCUCAAACACCUUAAUUUGAAGACACAGUUCUCUCAUACUAAAAAAGACAUGGAAGUUUGCCUUGUAAUUAGAGAUUUGGUUUCAUUGCUUGUUGUUGGGUUAUUAAUGAUAUGGGGAUGGAGAACUUUAAACUGGGUAUGGCUGGCCCCAAAAAGGCUCGAAAGCUGCUUGAGACAACAGGGUUUUGCAGGGAAUCCUUACAGGUUCCUUUCUGGUGACAUAAAAGAGCUCUUCACUAUGAGCAGACAAACAAGAGCCAAACCAAUGCCUCUUAGUGAUGAUAUUGGGCCUUAUGUUGUUCCUUUUCAACAUCAAACUGCUAACCAGUAUGGUAUGUUUUUUUUAUUUAAUCUGCAAAUUAUGAUAAUUCUUUGUUAUUUAUGUAUGGAAUUUAUUGGGAGGAAAUGCAGGAAAGAAUUCAUUUACGUGGUUUGGUCCAAGACCAAGGGUGAACAUUACGGACCCUGAAAAAAUAAGAGAAAUACUUAACAAAUUUAAUGACUUCCAGAAGAUACGUACCAAUCCUCUGCUUAAUUUGCUUGUAAGCGGCCUUGUUAACCUCGAAGGAGACCGAUGGAGCAAGCGUAGAAAAAUCAUAAACCCUGCAUUUCAUCAAGAUAAGUUGAAGGUAUAGAAUAGUGAUGGGUAAUCAGACUUUACAGAAAACAUCAUACUUAAACCAAUGCUUUUCUGAUUUAGAAAUAAUUGGAUGCAGAAUAUGUUGCCAGCAUUUUAUCAAAGUUGUAGUGACAUGUUAAGCAAAUGGGAGAAGAUGGUGUGUACAGAAGGAUACAGUGAGUUAGAUGUGAGGCCUUAUCUCGUAGAUUUGACAAGAGAUGUGAUUUCCCGAUCUGCUUUUGGAAGCAGCUUCGAAGAAGGCAAACGAAUUUUCCAAUUACUAGAGGACCAACUCGUUCUCACAAUCAAAUUAAUACAAACUGUUUACAUUCCAGGAUGGAGGUAACCGUCAACUUAAUUUACUUGAAAAAGGUUGCAAAUCUUGGAAUUGGCUAAAUUCGUGUUUGUUUUCUUGAAGGUUUUUGCCAACGAAGACAAACAGGGAGAUGAAGAUGAAACACAGAGACAUAAAAGAGUCGCUUAGGGAAAUGAUAAAGAGAAGGGAGAAGGCAAUUAAAGCAGGGGAAGAGAGCAAUGAGGACUUGUUGGACAUACUUGUGGAAUCCAAUAUCAGAGAAAUGGAAGCAAAGAAUAUGGGGAUGAGCAUUGAGGAUGUGAUUGAGGAAUGCAAGCUGUUUUACUUUGCUGGCCAAGAGACCACUUCGGUCUUACUGGUGUGGACUAUGGUUUUAUUAGCAAGGUAUCCCGAUUGGCAAAGUAAAGCAAGAGAGGAGGUUUUGCAUGUUUUGGGUGACAAUAAACCUGAUGCUGAUGGCCUUAAUCGUCUCAAAGUUGUAAGUCCCUAGCAUGUCUUUUGAAGGUCCGAUCAAUGAGGUCGACAACUCAAAAACUUUGUUUCUUUUUUCGCUAAUUCUACAGGUAACGAUGAUAUUGUACGAGGUUCUAAGGCUGUACCCACCGGUGGUUGAGCUAGGACGUUCCGUUCCAAAAGAAAUAAAACUGGGGAAUUUGUUGUUACCAGUAGGAACAGAAGUUUCGGUUCCGAUCCUGCAGAUCCACCAUGACAAAGAUCUUUGGGGUAACGACGCACGGGAAUUUAAGCCAGAGCGGUUCGCGGAAGGGGUUUCCAAAGCAACAAAGAGUCAAGUCACGUUUCUGCCAUUCGGAUGGGGUCCUAGGAUCUGUAUUGGCCAAAAUUUUGCUUUGAUGGAAGCCAAAAUGGCGAUGGCUAUGAUUCUCCAACGCUUCUGGUUCGAGCUUUCCCCUUCCUAUGCUCACUCUCCUUACAGCAGGGGAACUCUUCGUCCACAGCAUGGUGCACAGAUAAUUUUACAUAAACUUGGCUGUAAUUGAAUUGUUAUGUAAACAAAUCUUUGUGAAAACAUAGCGUUUUAGUGUAUCGUCAAAGUCCGGUGUCUGUAAUGGUACAAAUUCGAUGCAUGAAUAGUAAAUUUUGAGAUGUUUGGUGAAGUCCGAAAUAAUAUGCAGAAAUUGAGCGUCUAUGGUGGACAUAGUUGAGGGACUAAUGUGGUAAUUAUCAAUCAAAUAAUUCGGUACAAAGACUUGUAUGGAAAUUAAAGCAGGGGGAGUUGAAAAUGACUACUCUGCUUUGGGCAUCAAUUUAGAAAGAUUUAAAGUACAACUGUGUUAUCAGUUAAGGGAUUUGUUUUAAAGAGGGAAUGACAAUUAAACCUCAUGGUUUAUUUGUGCAAGGGAACCGAUGAUGGGAUGAUUAUUCUUAGUGGUAAAAAAAACCAUUAUGGAGGUUAUUACACUUGUUAUCAUCAGCUUAAAAUUCGAAUGGGUUCAAGUCGGAUUAUAUCGAGCUUGUAAGAUGAGUUCACGGACCAAGUUUGCAUAAUAAAAUACCUAAAUGAAAAAAAAUUCUAUUUUAGAGGGACGAGAGCCCCUAUCAACUCCCGGCUCAGCCACUAAACAAUACCUAUAUCAUAUAAAUAAAUACCACCAUCUAAAAGACUCAAAGAAAAACACUCAACAAAGGAUAAAUAGAUAGAUGUUGGAUAAGUGUCCAAAAUAUGAUUUAAGUGAAGAUACAUGUGGUAGGUGUUACGGAAAUGUGAAGACAAGAAUCCCACUAACGUAUGGGAUGUGUGCAGUUGAAUGUAGGGAGCAAAAAGAGGAGUGAAUCAUUUUGGUAACAUUUGGACAAGAAACAUAAUGAACAAAAUGGAAGGAGAGGAAGCUAGUAAAAGAAUUUUUUUGGGUCAUAUAAUUUGUUCAUUUUGGAGUUGAAUUAUAAUUUUUUUAUAUAUUAUUUUAAAAUUUUAAGGAGUUAAAACAAAAUUAUUUUAUUUUCAGAUGGUCAAAGUAGAGGUGAUAAUGGGUUGGGCUAUUCGGCCCGGCCUGACGAUUCACUCGAAAAAUAGGAGGGUUUAGGUAAAAAUAUAGGCUCGAAAUAGGGAUUUGAGCAAAAAAAGAGUCCCGUUUAGAAAAUGGGCCAGGCCUCGGGUAAAAUUUUUUGGGCCCAAGCCUGACCUGAAUUAUAUAUUAAAUAUAUUUUUUAAUUUUUAAUCAAAUAUACUUUUUUUUAUUAAUUUGGUUAUUAUUUUAGUUCUAAUUUGUUUCAAUUUUAAUAUAACCACUUUUUAUUAUAUUUUCAAUUUGUGUAUUGUUUUAAGAAUUGUUUUAGUCUCAUUUUUUUAUUUAUUUUUUGUUUUAAUAAUUGUUUUAAAAAUUUUUAUUUAAUGAAAUAAGCUAAAAAAAUUAAUAUGGGCUUGGCCAGGCCAGGCUCGGGCCUAGUAAUUUUCUUUUGGGCCGGACUUAGAUAAAAUUUUAAGCCCAUAUUUUAAAUUGGGUCCUAACCUAAAAAAUGAACCUAAAAUUUUAUAUGGGCCCGACUUGGCCCUUGAUUACCUUUAGGUCAGAGCUAUCCUCGUUUUGCAUUUCUUUGAGAUUCAGCCUUAUCUACUGUGAUUGCCCACUCAAUUGAGGGUUGAGUAGAAAGAUUUGGUGAAGCAAGCUAAGCUAUCAAUCAAGGUUUGCAUAAUUAUUUAAAUGUAAUUCUAAUAUUAAAAUAAUUUUUUUAUUAAUAUAGUAUCAACAAGCAUUAAAUGUAAUGAUCAUAUACUAUUACAUUUUAAAGAAGAGAAAACAUGUUUGAACUUUAAAAACCACGUUACUAAAAACAUUAUCACAAACCUUGAAAUAUAAAAAAUAAUUUUUUUAAUAUAAUAAAAAAUUAAUUUUAAACCCGAGCUGAAUAAAAUUCUAAUUUUAGUUAAUGAUACGAACAACAAAUCAAUAUUCUAAGCCCGAGCCCUGCUCAUUUUUUUAAUAAACACCAAAAAUUUAUUUUGAAAAUAAAAAAUAAAAAAAAUAUUUUAAAAAUAUUUUAAAAAUAAAAAAAAUUAAAAAUAAAUAUUUAUUAUAUAUUCAGGCCGGGCCGGGCUAGCCUUGGGCUAAAAAAAUGGUGCCCGAGGCCCGGCCCAUUUUCUAAAUAGGCCUCAUUUUUUGUCCAAACCCAUAUUUUGGGCCUAUAUUUUUACCCGAACCUCUCAUAUUUUGGGCGGACCGUCGGGCCGGACCGGGCCGCCCGGCCAUGAACACCUCUAGGGCAAAGUCACUCAAUGAAUGCAUGGAAAGAAAUAUUGCAACUUGGUGACAGCUUUUGUUGGAGUUAUAUGCUUUUUUUUACAUAGUGGAACUUUCGGUGGAUUUUCAAGUUUCAUGAACUUUAUACCCUAGGCUUUACGUGAAAAAAAUCAUUGGACUUAAAAGUCUACCAAAAGUUUCACUAUAAUAAAUAAAUAAAUAAAUAACAUUGCUACAAGACUACAACAUAAAGUUACAAUAAGAGCUUAUAACUCAACAAAGGCUAUCAAUAAAUAAUCUCAAGCAAGCUAAAGAGAAAUGUUGAGAGUACCACUCAAAUAGUGAUUGACUUUAAAAAUUGAAAACCCGAAGUUAUUGUUGACACCAUUUUUUGGAUGAAAAUGUGUCGACUUGGGUUUUGAAAAUGAAAACGAAAACGAGAGUCGCCACCAAUCCUUUUUGAUAAGGUGUGACUGGGUCACCUUGAAAAGUGGUUGUUUUUAAUAAACGAUUUGAUUUUAUUAAAACAACAGUUUUGGUCCACGAAAUUCAGAAAAAUGAGUUCGGGAGUCGGUUACGCACGAGGAAGGAUUAGCACCCUCGAUACGCCCAAAAUUGGUACCUAGUUGAUUACUUAAUGUCUUAAUGUCGAAAAUUGAAAACUUUGGAGAAUUUUAAACAUACGAUCCUUGUAUUAAAACGUUAAAAAUUUUCAAGAAAAUGGGAUAUUUCACGUUAUUCGAUAAAGAGAAUCAUAUCCUAGUAAGUUAGGACACAAUAUCUCGAAUUUCCGAUAUCAUUUAAAACUUGAGUUUGAAAAGAUUCGUGUAAUAAAGUUUAAAAUAAUAUUCAAUUGUUUAAAUCAAAUGAAGAAAUCGCAACCCAAUACGUUAGGGCACAAUUUCUCAAAAUAUUAAACAUUGAAUAUUGCAUUUAUUUCGAAAAAUCCUCAUCUCGAGAAAACGUGUCACAUCCAAUGCAUUAGAAUACAACGUAUUGAAUUCUCGAUAACGAGCUUUUUCUCAUUUUUUAAAAGAGUAAUCUCGAUUAUUUAGGUUCAACGAAGAAAAUCAAAACCCAAUACGUUAGGGCUCGAUUUUCUCAAAGAUUCCAAAUACCGAGUAUUACUUAUAUUUUUAAAAUUUCUUUUUUGAAAUCCGAGUAAAAAUGAAUGCAAAAUAAUAAAUGAUGACAAUGUAAAUAAAAUGAUACAAGCAAAACAAUAAACAAUAAAAAUAAUCAUACGGGCAAGGUAACAAAUAAUUAGGAACUAAAGAAAGAGAACAAACAAUAAUAAACAUGCAAAUAAAUGAACAAAAUUAACAACAUGAUGCAAAUAUGAAAGAUAUAUAAGCACAUAUAUAUACAUAAAAUAAUGAGAAUAUGAAAAAAUGUGUGUAAUUGGACAUGUUUCGGAAUUAUUAUACAUUUAAAAAUCAUGUAAAUGUGUGUACAUACAUAUAUACAUAUAUAAUAAUCAUUAAAUAUAUAAAAAUACAUAUGUGUAGGUAUAUAUGAGUCAUAAAAUGUAAAGAAUAUAUACAAGAUAUAUUUUGAACGUAUAAAGUAUAUGUAAAUGUAUAUAUAUAAUAAAGGUGUAUGAAAGCAUAUUUUAUAUACGUGUAUUUAUAAAAUGUAUAUAAAUGUAUAUUGAUUUACCAAUACAUAUGGAUUUAUAAUUAUAGAAUAUAUAUAAAAUAUUUACAUAUAUACGUUUAUGCAUAUAUAAAAGUAAGUUAUUAUAAAAUAUGAGCAAGCAGAAUACAUAAAUAUAUAUACAUAAAAUAAAAAUGAAGAUGAAAAUAAUAUAAAACUACUUAAUAUAUUAAUAUAAUAGUAACAAAUUAAAAAAACAGAAAAUAAAGCUAAUAAUAAUUAAUAAUAGUAGUAAUAAUUAUAGCAGCAAUGAUAAUGAUAAUAAUAAUAACACUAAAAAAAUUAAUUAAAUAAUAAAAUUGCUAAAAAGGGAUUAAAUCGAAAUAAAAACAUAAAUACUGGGCGAUUUUGAAAUAAAAAACGGGAAGGACCGAAUUGCAACGCGCGUUGAAAAGGAAAGGGCCAAAACUGCAAAUAAACCACAGCCCCAAAACGCAGCGUUGAAAUGGACCAAGUCGAAAUAAAAAUAAAAUUGCAGGGGCUAAAUUAAAAAUAAGAGAAAAUAACGAAAAAUGAUCAAAUUGUAAUACGCUGCAAAAUCAGGGGGACUGCACGCGCAAAUAGCCCAAAAACUGAAAACACGCGGAUCCUCCGGGUCGGGUCGGGUCGGGUCAGGUCGACGUGCGGAUCCCCUUUGCUAAAACGGCGUCGUUUCAUGUUUAAUAUAAAUACUAAAAAAAGCUAAAAAAAACAGUUUCAUCUUUUUUUAAAAAAAACAGAGAGAAAACUCUCUCUUUUUCCCUCAGGUCCGGCCAUGGUCCGGCUUGGGAUUUCCGACGAGUCUCCGCCGCAAAGCCACCGUGUGUGGCGGCCGGAGGUUCAAAAUCAGACCUUUUUGGUCCUUUUUUAAAGUCCAUGGCCUCCAAGCCACAGAUCCGGGGCUGAAUCUCCUGAAUCGAAAGCCGAAGACCCAAAAAAUGGGGUGAAAUCCUUCGCCUUCCUCCCCCUUCCGGCGCUGCGCAGGUAAGGUUUUUUUUAACUCCUUUUUUACUAUCUUUAUUUAUAUAUAUACAUGAAGAGAAAAGAGAGCAAAAUAAAUAAAUAAAUAAAAACUUCAAAACUGAAGAGAAAAAGACCUUGAAUCUGCCUUAUUUAUUUUCUUUCGGUUGAAUCUGUUUUUGUUUGUUACAAAAGUUUCCAGGGAAGAGAAAAAAAAAGAGAGUUACAUGCUUGGCUUUUAUAGCCGAUAUUAAUUUCUAUUUUUUGUUUUCUUUUUCCUUUCUUUUCUUUGGCUGUUGCGUGUUUGCUUCCUUAUUGCAGGGUGAUUGACGGGAGUGGUUGGCGACAGAGUCGGUGGCCACUUGCACUGAUGAAGCAGCGGUGGCGGCGCUAGGGUAGGCUAGGGACGGCGGCAGUACUAGGGUUUCAGAAAACUGAAACCCUAGUUUGACAAAUUGGUUUCGGGCCUGUUGGGCUUUAAAUUAUGGGCUUUGUAAUUGGGUUUUGGGUUUAGGUGAUUUGGGUUUAGGUGGUAUGGGCCCGGGUCAAAUUUUGGGUAAUGGGAUUGGGGCAAAAUUGGGUUGUACAGUUAUAAUAUCCCAAACGAAAUCAAACUAUAAACAUUAAAUUUUUCGAGUCUUCUAGAUACUGUAAAAAAUUCAGCUCCAACGGACACCAAAUGAACCUAUGAUCGAAGAAAAUACGAAGACUAGUCUGGCUAAAUCAAUCUGCCAAACUUACUUUUUAUCUUAUCUUUAAUUUGCUGUGAAAUUCAAAACUACGUGUAAUACUCAAUUUAUGCUCGACCCAUUUUGUUAAAACAAAUAAAAAAGAAAAGAAAAACAAAAUAUUUAAAUUUAGCCCAAAUGUCCAUUUACACAGCCCAAUUACAAUUGCAAAUAAAAAAAACUAAAACUAAACCCGAUCCUAAGCAUCAGCCCAAAUUCGACCCAUGCCCAAAACGAAUUCAGAUGCAGAAACCCUAGCCCAGCCUUAAUGCAAGCAAAAGUCGAAAGCCCUAAUAGUUGGUGCGCCGCUCCUGUAACAGCCCGAUUUUGGGCCUAGUCGGAACAGUGGUUUUGGGACCACAAAUCCGACGAGAAAAAAAUGUAAUGGCCCGAAUUUUCAGAGGUGUCAGAACGGUGAUUCGAGAUCACUAAAUUCGACAAAUGGGUAGAAAAUAUUAUUAAUUUAGUAAGUAUAAGUUAAAUGUGAAGUUAGGAAAAUUUUUGAAAUGGUGAAUAGUACACUAGAAAUAAAUAUUAAAAUAAUUAGAAUCGAAAAUGAGGUAUCGAGACCUCGGGGAUUUUAAACCGAGCCAUAAAUAUUUUUAUAAAUAUUUAUGUAGUCUUAAAAAGUUAGUAUUAAAGUUUCGUUAAGAAAUUUUAAAGUUCCGAUAAUUAAUUGAACAAAAAGGACUAAAUUGUAACAAAUACAAAAUUAUGAGAAAUGAUUAAAUAGUUUAAAUGAUAAAAGGAAGAGGGCUUAAAAGGUAAAUAGACCCAAGGUCUAUUUGGGCUGCACGGCAAAGGCAUGAAAUCAGCAACAAAGUAAGGAGAAUUAAGGGCAAAAUUGGAAUAUUGCAAAAUUUACUUAAUAAAGUUAGGACCAAAGUGGAAUUAUCUAGAUUUCUCUUUAUUUUUCUGCAUUAUCAUCAGCAUAAACACCAUAGAAGGGUUUUCUUAAGCUGGUUCUUCCUAUUUUUACUGCAGGUAAGUUCAAUUCUUGAUUAUUUCUUGAAAAUUUUGUGUUUUUGUGACUUUUACAACUAGGCCCACUUAUUGUAUUCAUUAGUUUUUGAUUCUAUGAAAGAAGUUGAAAGUUGCUAUGAAUACAUGCUGGAAGUAUAUGAUGAUUUAGCAUGGAAUUAGAGCUUUAAAUUGUUCAUAUGCUGAUUUAUUGAAAGAAUUGAAUAGAAAGUGAAUGUUUGGGACCUAAUAGUAAAAGAGUUUGAAGAUAGAGUUAUAUGUGGAAAUUCUGAAUUUCAAUAGUUGUGAAACAACUUAUAAUGUCUAGGUUAAGUAUUAAUUGAGAAAAUUAAAUUAAUUGAGGGGUUAAUUGAGAAAGGACCGAAUUGUAUAAACUGUGAAAUUUGGGGCAAAAAGGAAAUCAACAUUUUACACUAAAGCAGUUUUGGACAGCAGCAGUAGUAUAACUUUGAAAAAUCACCAAAAAUUUUGAGAAUUGAAUUAGAGGGUGAAUAAAAUAUAAAAUUAAAGCUCCUUGAAUCUAGUUUCUCAUAGAAGAAACGGUGUAAGCAAUGGAAUUGUAAAUCAUGAGAUAUAAUAAAUUUUGUGAGACAAUGUCAUAAUGAUUUCGGGUUCCCCUAUUCUGACUUUGGAAAAUCAUCAAAAAAUUAAGAAAAAUAUGAGUUAUAAUUUAUAUGAUUACAAUCCUUAAUGAGUCUAUUUUCAAAGAAAAUAAACGGAAAUAUCAUCCAAAUUCUGUACAAUUAUAUAAUUCAUUUUUAGUGAAGAGUGGUCGAAACUGUCAGACAGCGAAAUAGGGGGAACUUUAAAGAAUAAACUGUACUAUUUGGCUGAACCAAAAAUUCUGAAAAUUUUAUGGUAAGAAGGUAUGUGAGUCUAGUUUUAAGGAAAAUUAACGGAUCUUAAUUUAGAGCUCUGUAGCUCUAGAUAAAAAUAAUUUAGUGACUCUGACUCAGAUAAAUAGCUUUGAAUGUACAUGUGAGUGAAUAGUGAAAUUAUAGCUAGUGUUGUUUAAGUGUGUUAUACACAUUAAGGAUAUGGAAUGGAGAGGAGGAGGAGGAGGAAAAAUUGGGAAAUAUAUGAAUGAUUUGUGUAUAAUUGGUCAUAUGCUUAAUUAUAAUUGAUAAACGAUGAAAUAGAAAUGAUGCAUAUAUUUGUGCAGUAUUGGUCAUGGUUUAAGCUCAUGUGGGAAAAUAAAGUUUAUAGUACGUGUGUAUUAUAUUUUUGGUAUAUGAUUUGGCAUUAAGUAAUGUCGUGAAUGGAUAUUGAAUUAACACAUGUUGGAAAGUUUGAUAUAUGAAUAAAUAUUGUGAUCAUGAAAGAGUGUUACAGCUCCUGCCUUCAGCACGCGUCGAGCCUCCGCGCCAAAUCCACGUGAGCCUCCGUACACUCCAACUAGCCUCCGUACCUGCAACAAACAAAAGUAGACAAAACAACAGCAAAGGAUAGGAAGAAAAGGCAGUAAAUAGUGAAGAUUUUUCUGUAAUUUUCUUUGGAUUUCAUUAUGUAUUUUCGGCUAUAAAAGAGCCAUUAGGAAUAUUUGUAAAGGGUUUUUUUUUUACCCUCACACACAAAGAGAAUAUACACGCAUACAAGAUCAAUAUAGAGAAAGAAAUAAAAAUAAAUAAAUACAAAGAAUAGAAAAUCAAGUUUCGAAGGUGAUUCUUUGAAAAAUCCUUUUCGUUUUUCUCAUUUUUCCUUUUUCCUGGAUCUUUUGUUCAUUUCAAGUAAAAAAAGUAUAGAAAGGAAACAAGUUUAGAGGAAGGAGGUUUACCUGGACGCCGGACCUCGCUCGCCUCGUCGAAAUCGAAGGCUGAGAGGGGAUAAAUCGGUUUUGCGGCAGAAGGAAAGGGGGGCUAGGGUUCUUGUUUUAACUUUUUUAAAAAAAAUAGAAAAGGUUGCUAAUUAGGUUUUAAUGGGGGAUUUAUGUGUGUUAAAAAAACGACGUCGUUUAGCGACCUUUGACCCGUGCGGUGACCCGACCCGAGGAAAGGAUCUGCGCGUUUUGGGUCUGAUGGGUUUAUUGCGCAACAAGCCCUUCCGCAUUUGUUUUUCGUUUCAAUUCGGUUUUUAUUUGUUUUUUAAUUGUUUUCUCAUAUUUAGUUCCAAUUUCAAUUGGGUCCAUGAUUAAACGACAUCGUUUUCAUUGAUUGGGUUUGAAGGCCUGGUUUUGUGCGUCUAAAUUGCAGCAAUGGUCCCCCUGAUGUGCAAUAGUUCUCGAUUUAGUCGUCUCCACACUUAUUUCAAAGUCGUCCUUGAGAUUUUGUUUUAUUUUUGAAAUUGUCCUUGUCUUCUUUUAAUUUAUAAUGAUAUUAUUAUUAUUGUUGUUGUUAUUAUUACUAUUAAUAUGGGUAUUGUUAUCAUGUUAGUUUAUAUCUAUUUAUUUACUUUUAUUUUAUUAUGUAUUAUUAUAUAAUGCUUUUAUCAUGUAUCAUUUUAUAUAUUUUCUAUGUUAAUCUAAUAUGAUAUAUAUAUAUAUAUGUAUUUUUGUGAUCUUAUUUUAUAAUACUUUUUUAACCCAUUUAUAUGCCUUUAUGUUUUAAAGAUUUAUAAUAUUUUGUGCAAAACUAUUAUAUAUAUAUAUAGAUAUACAAUUUAUAUUAGACCAUUUUUAUCGUACAUAUACGUAUAUAUAAUUUAUAUUUUGAAACUCUAUUUUAUUAUAUUUUAUGCCUCUAUAUACAUCAUUAUAUGUUUAUUAUUCUUUAUAUUAAACCUGCCAUUUCACUUAUAUAUUUUUAAAACCAAUGUGUAUUAUUCUUUCUUCUUUGUUAUUUUUUAUCUCUUAAAAUAGAUUGAUAAUUCAUUUAAUUUUUGAAUGUUGUAUGACCGAGAUUAUCGUUGCCAUUCUUGUCCAAAUUUAUCCAUUGCUUGUUCAUAUUAUUUGAUAAUUUAUCGCUCACUAGCAUGUAUCGUAAUUUACGAAUUAUCAUUUUGAAUUAUGUACUACCAUUCAAUCGCAUUACAUUUGUUUGGAAAACAUCGAAAUCGUUUUGCACAUAAACCUUCAAAAUGCUUGGUAUCCAAAAUUCUCGAGAGGAUUGUGCCCUAAUUUAUUGGGCUUCAAUUCCCCUUUUUGAUUUUAAAUAACCGAAUACCCCUUUUUCAAUUUGAACAUAGAAAUUCCAAAAUAAAAAAAAACUCAUUCUCGGGAAUUUGAUGCGUUGUGUCCUAACGUAUUGUAUAUGACAUAUUUUUCUCGAGACGAGGAUUUUUCUAACAAAUAAAAAUAAAGGCAAUAUUCGAUAUUUAGGAAUUUUGUGAAAUCGAACCCUAACUUACUGGGUUUUGAUUUUUUCAUUUGACCCAAGUAGGAUAUCCUUCACAAAUGCACAGAUUUUAAAAAAUCAAAAGAUAAACUUAAUUUCGAGGAUUUAAAAUGUUACACUCUGACUUACUGAGUGUGUCAAUUUAUUUCUUUGAAAUAAGUGAGUCUUAUCAUCCAAUUUAUUUUAUUCAAAUUUUCUUUUCCAAGGAUCGUAUUUUAAAAUUUUUUCAAAAUUUCGACAUUAAGACAUUAAGCAAUCAAUUCAGUACCAAUUUUGGGCGUCACGAGGGUGCUAACUCUUCCUCGUGCGUAAUCGACUCCCGAACCAGUUUUCUCAAAAUUCACAGACCUAAAAUUAUUUUCAAGGUGAUCCGAUCACACCACAAUAAAAGAUCAGUGGUGACUCCCAUUCCUAUUUUUAAAAGUCGAUUCCUGUUUUUCAUAUAUAAAAAAAUGGUUUCGACACUACGGUUUUGUUUGUUUCCCUUAGAACAACUUUCAAAAAGUUAAUUUUGAAAAAUGGAUUGAAUUUUCAAAAUAGAUGAUAUUUUUUUGUGUUAAAAUUUUAUUCGUUGUUUGAAAAAAAAAUUUAAAUCAUUUUCUUAGAAUUAUUUUUAGUGAAACAAAUAUAUCAUAAAUAUAUUUGUUAUAAAAUAUUAUAUUAAUAUUUUCUUUUAACAAUUAAAAUAUAUUUUGUGAUAAGGUAAUAUUUUAUAAUAAUUAAUAUCAUAUAUACUUAAUAAUAAAUCAUGUCUAAUUAAAAUUUAAUUUCAAUUAAAUAUAUUAAUAAAGCUACAUUUAAUCAUAUUUUAUAUAAUUAAAAUAUUAAUAUAAAUAUUUUUCAAUAAUAUAUUAAAGAAUAUUUAAAAUUUAAAUUUAUUAUUACUAAGAUUAAUUAUUAAAACAAAAAUGUAAUAUUAAAUAAUUUAUCCAAUGAUAAGUUAUAUUAAUAAUUUAUUAUAUUAUUAAAUAUAAAUAAUUAAAUAUGUAUGUUUAAUAAUAUUAUGUUAUAAUAUUUAUUACUAAUAUUUUAAUAUUUUUAAACAACCAUGUUUUAAAGAUGGUGGUGAUGGUGAUGGUGCAGGCCCCCUUGUUAAAAUUACAAUAUUUUUAAGUGGGAUGCAUGUAAUAUAUUGUUAGGGUUUUAGAGUAUGUGGUCUUUAAAAGGGUUAAAUUAUAUAUUUAUAUAAUAUGAUUAUUGUUUAUAAACAUAAUAUUGUAGAUAAGUUUAUAUGUAUGUCAAUAUGUAUCCUACUCUAAGGUUAAUAUGUAUUUUUUAGAUGUGGGUUUACCUAUAUAAUAGUAUGAAUCCAUCAUGUGGUCUCAUGAAAUAUACAAACACAUAUCGUGCGAACACAAAGUACGAACAAUAAAAAAUACAAAUCAAGACCCAAUUGAAUAAUUGAAUAACGGAUAGGUAAUAAUGAAUAUCAUAACAUUUACUAUCCCCUCUUUUCUAGUGAGUUAUUGUUUAUGAUAAAUUUGCAACAAAUGUUUUUAUCAUUAUUUUGUUGGUAAAUGAUAAUAAGAUUAAACAUUACUUUCUUAAGCUCCUUCAAUUCUUUGGACGUUAGCGAGUAAACUUGAGCUUCAGCAUUCCACAAACACCUUAAUUUGAAGACACAGUUCUCUCAUACUAAAAACGACAUGGACGUUUACCUUGUAAUUAGAGAUUUGGGCUCAUUGUUGGGUUAUUAAUGAUACGGGGAUGGAGAGCUUUAAACUGGGUAUGGUUGGCCCCAAAGAGGCUCGAAACGUGCUUGAGACUAGAGGUGAUCAAGGGCCGGGUUAGGCCCAGUCUAGAAAAAAAAUUAGGCCCAUUUUUUAGAUUUGAACUCGGCUCGGCUCAAAAUAUAAGCUUAAAAAUUUGUCUAAGUUCAGUCCGAAAGAAAAUUGUUAAGCCCAAGCUCGACCCAUAUUAAAUUUUACAACACCAAAAAAGUAUAUUUAAAUAAAAAUAAAAUAUAUAUAUUUAAUAUAUAAUUCGGGCCGAGCUGAACUCGGGCCAAAAAAGUUUUACUCGGGGCUGGUCCGUUUUCUAAACAGACUUCGUUUUUUUUGCCAAAAUCCAUAUUUUUACCCGAAUCUUCCUAUUUUUUGGGGUGUGCCGUCGGGCCGAACUGGGUAACCGAACCAAUGAUCACCUCUGUAAUCACUGAAUUUUGUCCGGGAAUAACUUUCGUUAAAAAAAUUUUAAAAUUAAAAAAAAAUUAACUUUUUUGCUUUUUGACCCCUAAACUUUUCUAAAAUUUCAUUUUAACCCCUAAACUUUCUCAAAAUUACAGUUCAACCCCUAAACUUUUCUAAAUUACAUUUUGACCCCUAAAAUUUCUUAAAAUUACAUUUGGACCCUUACACUUUCUCAAAAUUACGUUUCGGCCCCAAAAUUUUUGCUACAUUUACAAAUUGGUCCUUCUGUCAGAAAAUCCCCAAUAAUCCGGCGGAUUUCGUGCACCUGCCCCACUAUUUCCGGCAGCCGGCCUAGGGCAUGGCCUUCCCCACCUGCUACCUGCAAACAAGAAGCAAAAUCAACUAUAAAAAGGAGUUUAAACUCCAAAAAUCGGACCCCCACCCACGAAAAAAAUAAAAAAAAAAAACUUGAAAGAAAAAGAAAAAAGCUUUGAGAAAGAAAAAGAAAAGGAAAAGAAGAGAGGGGAGAAGGAGAGGCCGACCAUCGGCGAGCCACCGGAGGAGGCGACGGCAGCAGCGGCAUCGACGGCGGCGUAGAAGACCGAACGGAGAAGAAGAAGAAGAAGAAAAAAAAAGAAAGAAGAGAAAGAAAGAAGGAAGAAGAAGAAGAAAGAAACAAAAAAAAAAGAAAAUAUUUUGUAAUAGUCGGCCCGGCCCGACUCGACCUGCACGACCCGUGACCCGACCCGACAGCACCAGCAACCUAGCAGGCCACGGUAGCAGCCCGGCGGCCCAAAGAGUAGCCCAAAAAGAAAAAAAGAAGAAGAACAAAGCAAAAAAAAAAAGCAGGCCAUUUUCAGCAGGCCCAGUGCAGCCCAGCAGACCCAGCGAACCCAGCAGGCCAGGCCCACACGCAAGCAGCCCAACAGAAAAAAAGGGAAAGAAAAAGAAAAGAAAAAAGAAAAAAGAAAAAAGAAGAAGAAGGGGUUCAAUUUGUAUUAUCCGUUCGGCGAAGCUCGUGUUUUGAGGAUUUUUUUUCGGUAAUUUUAUUUUUUAAUUUUAAUUUAAUGCUCGUAUUUUUUUUAAAUAUUAUUAGUAUUUUAUGCAUUUUUAUAUUUUGGCAUUUAUAUUUUUAAUUUAAUUUACUUCAAUUUUUAUUUUAUUUUAUUUUAAAUAAUUUUAAUAAAUGAGGCAACGAAUCGAUUUAACAUAAAAUCGUUGAUUUCAUUGCUAUGUUGGGUGAAUAUCAUCGGUUUGUGUUAAACACGAUACACCCUUUUUAAAAAAAAGAAAAAAAUCGAAAAAAUUCUAAAAUUCUCAUUUUUUUAAAAUUCUCGUGUUUUAAUAGAAUCACGAUUAAAUAUUAAGUUGAAUCGAUUUGGCACUAAUUCGAUGAUUUCAUCUCCAUGUAGGGAUGAAUAUCAUUUAUUCGUGUUAAAUAUGGUACUUCUGAAAAAAAAUCGGGUUUCAAAAAUUUUCGUGUUUUCAAAAAUUCUCAUGUUUCAAAAAUCUUCGUGUUUUAAAAAUUCCAGUGUUUCAAAAAUUUUCGUGUUUUCAAAAAAAAAUUUCUCGUGUUUUUAAAAAUUCCCGUAUAUCGAAAUUUUCUUGUUUUCAAAAAAAAAAUUCCAUGUUUCAUAAAUUUCCGUGUUUUCAAAAAAAAAUUCUUGUUUUUCAAAAAUUUUCGUUUUUAAAAAAUUUGACCGUGUUUCAUAAAUUUUCGUAUUUCAAAAAAACCUCGUGUUUCAAAAUUUUCGGGUUUUUUUAAAAACAAUUCGUGUUUCUAAAAUUCUCGUAUUUUAAAAAAAAUCGUGUUUUCAAAAAAAGAAAAAGUUGUUGUGCUUUAAAAUUAUCGUGUUUCAAUCGGAUCACGAUUAAUAUUAAAUUGAACUCGUAUUUUUGAAAAUGAAAACAACGCGCGUUUAACGAGAUACCAAUUUUGGGCGUCGCGAGGGUGCUAAUACCUUCCUCGCGCGUAACCGACUCCCGAACCUUAAUUUUCUCUGAAUUUUUACGUGGACCUAAAAUUACCUCUUUUUAGAAAAGUUUAAAAAUGAAUUUUUCUUCUAAAAAGAGAAUUUUGUAGGUGUCCGAUCACACCUAAAAAAAGAUCGGUGGCGACUCCUUUUUUUCAAAUAAAAUCGAGAUUCAGUUUUCAAGUUUUUAAUAAUUACUUCGACAAGCGCCCGUGCGCAAAAUUUUUAAGUCGCUACAGCCUCUACUUGAGACAACAGGGUUUUGCAGGGAAUUCUUACAGGUUCGUUUCUGGCGACAAAAAAGAGCUCUUCACUAUAAGCAUACAAACAAGAGCCAAAACUAUGCCUCUUAGUGAUGAUAUUAGGCCUUAUGUUAUUCCUUUUCAACAUCAAACCGUCAACCGGUAUGGUAUGUUUUUUUUAUUUAAUCUGCAAUUUGUGAUAAUUCUUUGUUAUUUAUGUAUGGAAUUUAUUGGGAGGAAAUGCUGGAAAGAAUUCAUUUACGAGAAUUGGUCCAAGAUCAAGGGUGAACAUUACGGACCCUGAAAAAUAAGAGAAAUACUUAACAAAUUUAAUGACUUCCAGAAGAUACGUACCAAUCCACUGCUUAAUUUGCUUGUAAGCGGCCUUGUUAACCUCGAAGGAGACCGAUGGAGCAAGCAUAGAAAAAUCAUAACCCUUGCAUUUCAUCAAGAUAAGUUGAAGGUAUAGAAUAGUAAUGGGUACUCAAGACUUUAAAGAAAACAUCAUACUUAAGCCUAUGCUUUUCUGAUUUAGAAAUAAUUGGAUGCAGAAUAUGUUGCCAGCAUUUUAUCAAAGUUGUAGUGACAUGUUUAAGCAAAUGGGAGAAGAUGGUGUGUACAGAAGGAUACAUUGAGUUAGAUGUGUCGCCUUAUCUCGUAGAUUUGACAAGAGAUGUUAUUUCCCGAUCUGCUUUUGGAAGCAGCUUCGAAGAAGGCAAACGAAUUUUCCAAUUACUAGAGGACCAACUCGUUCUCACAAUCAAAUUAAUACAAACUGUUUACAUUCCAGGAUGGAGGUAACCGUCUACUUUAAUUUACUUGAAAAAGGUUGCAAAUGUUGGAAUUGGCUAAAUUCGUGUUUGUUUUCUUGAAGGUUUUUGCCCACAAAGACAAACAGGGAGGUGAAGAUGAAACACAAAGACAUAAAAGAGUCGCUCAGGGAAAUGAUAAAAAGAAGAAAGCAGGCAAUUAAAGCAGGGGAAGAGAGUAAUGAGGACUUGUUGGACAUACUUGUGGAAUCCAAUAUCAGAGAAAUGGAAGCAAAGAAUAUGGGGAUGAGCAUUGAGGAUGUGAUUGAGGAAUGCAAGCUGUUUUACUUAGCUGGCCAGGAGACCACUUCGGUCUUACUGGUGUGGACUAUGGUUUUAUUAGCAAGGUAUCCCGAUUGGCAAAGUAAAGCAAGAGAGGAGGUUUUGCAUGUUUUGGGUGACAGUAAACCUGAUGCUGAUGGCCUUAAUCGUCUCAAAGUUGUAAGUCCCUAGCAUGUCUCUUGAAGGCCCGAUCUCUGAGGUCGACAACUCAAAAACUUGGUUCUUUGUUUCGCUAAUUCUACAGUUAACAAUGAUAUUGUACGAGGUUCUAAGGCUGUACCCACCAGUGAUUGAGCUAGGACGUUCCGUUCCAAAAGAAAUAAAACUGGGAAAUUUGUUGUUACCAGCAGGAACAGACGUUUCGGUUCCAAUCCUGCAGAUCCACCAUGACAAAGAUCUUUGGGGCGACGCCGCACGGGAAUUUAAGCCACAGCGGUUCACGGAAGGGGUUUCCUAAGCAACAAAGAGUCAAGUCACGUUUCUGCCAUUCGGAUGGGGUCCUAGGAUCUGCAUUGGCCAAAACUUUGCCAUGAUGGAAGCUAAAAUGGCGAUGGCUAUGAUUCUCCAACGCUUCUGGUUUGAGCUUUCCCCUUCCUAUGCUUACUCUCCUUACAACAUGGCAACUCUUCGUCCACAGCAUGGUGCACAGAUAAUUUUACAUAAACUUGGCUGUAAUUGAAUUGUUAUGUAAGCAAAUCUUUGUGAAAAUAUAGUGUUUUAGUGUAUCGUCAACGUCUGUCUGUAAUGGUACAAUUCCGAUGCAUGAAUAGUAAAUUUUGAGAUGUUUGGUGAAGUCCGAAAUAAUAUGCAGAAAUUGAGUGUCUAUGGUGGACAUAGUUGAGGGACUAAUGUGGUAAUUAUCAAUCAAAUAAUUCGGUACAAAGACUUAUAUGGAAAUUAAAGCAGGGGGAGUUGAAAAUGACUACUCUGCUUUGGGCAUCAAUUUAGAAAGAUUUAAAGUACAAAUGUGUUAUUAGUUAAGGGAUUUGUUUUAAAGAGGGAAUGACAAUUAAACCUCAUGGUUGAUUUGUGGAAGGGAACCAAUGAUGGGAUGAUUACUCUUAGUGGUGAAAAAAAAACUAUUAAGGUGGUUAUUAUAGUUGUUAUCACCAGCCUAAAAUUUGAAUAGGUUCAGGUCGGAUUAUAUUGAGCUUGCAAGAUUAGUUCACGGACCAAACUUGCAUGAUAAUAGGUAUUCACAACAAGAUAUCUAUAGUUUCCAACAAAGUCACAUGUGAGAUCGUGCAUUAGAACCGCAUAAACAUGUUUUAUGUUUAGAAUAUGAUAUGUGUCUAUGUGUAUAGAAUCUACCUAAUAUAUCAUAUUAAUGAAUAGUAUCAAUUGCGGAGCCAAAAAAUUAUUUGUGAGGGGUCAGAAUUAAAUUGUAUAUUUUUACAAAAAUAAAAAUUAAAUUUCACUAUUUUAAUAGUUUAUUUAUUUUUAAUUUUUAAAUGAUUAAAUUAAAUUUUAUAAAUUUUUAGGAUCAAAGUAUAAUUUUAUCAUUACUAAUUUAAAAUUUUAUAAAUUAUAAAAAGUUUAUAUGAAAAGUUUUCUAUUUUAGGGUGGCCAAAGCCCCUGUCAACUUCUGACUCGAUCACUUGCGGUUAGUUGGGUAAAGACUCAAGAAAAAUAGCGGUGUGUUUGGAUGGACGGUGCGUUUACUUGCGGUUAGUGUAAAAAUAGCGGUGGCGGUGAGAUUAGAUACUAUAGCAACACUGUAGCGUGAGACAAAAAGUAAGUUAAACGCACUGCACUGCACUUAAUCGUCUAUCUAAACUCACCAUAAGUGUCUAAAAUAUGAUUUAAGUGAAGAUACGUGGGGUAGGUGUCAUGGAAAUGUAAAAAAAAAAAAGAAUCCUACUAAUGUAUGGGAUGUGUACAAUUGAAUGCAGGAGUGAAUCAUUUGGGUAACAUUUGGACAAGAAACAUAAUGAACAAAAUGAAAGGAGAGGAAGCUAGUAAUAAAAGAUUCUUUUGGGUUAUAUAAUUUGUUUGGCAUAUAUUUUUAUAAUAUUUAAAUAUCAUUUUGGAGUUGUUGAAUUAUAAUUUAUUUUUAUGUUUUAAAACAUAAUUAUUCUAUUUUUAGAGGUCAGAGUAGAGGUGAGCAUGAGUCGGGCUACUCGGCUCGGGCUGAAGGCUUGCGCAAAAUGUGAGAGAUUUGGGUAAAAAUAUAGGCCCGAAAAAUGAGUUUAGACAAAAAAAAAUAUAAGGCCCGUUGAAAAAACAGGCUAGGCCUUGGGUAAGGCAUUUUGGCCCCAGACCCGGCCCAACCCAAAUUCACUAAGGGCACGUUUGGUUCGCUGUAUUGGAAUAGAGGCGUAAUGUAAUAGAGGCGUAAUGGAAUAGAGACGUAAUAGCAAAUCAAUUGUUUGGUUGAAUGUAAUGGAAUAGAGGCGUAAUAGUAUUCUUAUAUUUGGUUGAAUGGAAUAGAGUUGUAAUAGCAUAAGGAAAAAAGUUAAAAUGACUAGAAUACCCUUAGCAGAAAUUUGUUUAGAUAAAUGAUUAUUGUUAUUGUUAUUAAAUUUUAAUAAGAUUAUUAAUAUCAGUAAUAAAUAAUUUAAUCAUAUUUUAACAUAAUUAUUAUUAAAUAUAAUUUAAUAAAAAUAUAUAAUUUAAUAAAAUUCUUAAUAUUAAAUAUUCUUAAUAUUAAAUUACUAAAAUCAUAAUAUAUAAUACUAUAAAAUAUAAUUUAACAUAAUUAUUAUUAAAUAUAAUUUAAUAAAAUUCUCAAUAUUAAAUAUAUUCUUAUAUGAAUUUACUAAAAUCAUAAUAUAUAAUACUAUAAAAUAUAAUUUAAAAUAAUUAUUAUUAAAUAUAAUUUAAUAAAAAUAUAUAAUUUAAUCUAAAGUUUGAAUGUGUAUUUACCUAGCAAAAAUCAAUGAACUCUCGUGUAACUAUAACCUUAAUAAUAUAUGAUGUAUAAUUAAUAUUUCGUGACUAAUUAAUAGCAUAGAGAUAAAUAUAGUAAUGACGAAUUUAUAGUAUACGAUUAAAAUGCUAAUAAUUUAUAGUAUACAAUUAAAAUAUUAUAAAUAAAAUAAUAGUAAAUGAUAUAUAAGAUAAAUUAACAUAUAAAUAAUUCAGAUAUGUAAAGGAUAUGGCUGAAUAUGGUUGCUCCAAUAAUAAAGGAUAUAUAAUAUAUCAUGGUGUUGUUUUGUUUAGAUAGUUCGGUAACUUAGGAGGGUAUGUAUGAAGAACACAAGUUGAUGCAGAUAGAAAGACGACAAUAUUACAUGAUUACAAUAUGAUAUAGUAUAUAUAUAUAAUUUAUGGAUUCCUUGCAAUCACGUGGGUUCUCUAGCCAUUUUAUUUAGCAUAUCCAGUGAUAUUAAGAUCCAGAAUUAUAAUACAACUAAAAUCUGUGCACACUUAUGGAUGAUCCAACAAAGCCUCAGUUGGCUUUAGGUUCCAAAUCUUGCAACCCACAAACCAUAUUUGCUGGCACUGCAACAUCAAUCAUCUUAGGAUAUGCCAAGUUAAGAUCUGUUGCACCAACAAAAACAGAGGAGAAAUUGGAAGGCGAUCCGAAAAAACCCAAGGAUGCUUUUUCUUUUCUUUUUUUUUUAUAAUCUUUAUAGACUGGUUAUAUUGAGCAUCAACUUACUUUCCAUGAUGUUUUUGAAAGUCUCUUACAAAAAGGGUAUUCAACAAAUAAUAUAAUCAGACAUAUUGAUAGGACAAAUUGAAACUAGUAUUCUAUGAUCAUAAUAAAGAGUAAUCUUUAAUCAAAUGCGUGAAGGUAUUGAGAUGUCAUGCUUUUUCAUGAUUUCCUGUUUUACCAUGGCGAUGUUCAUUGGAAUAGUCCCAUCCAAGAGAAUCAAACCAAUGCUCAGCAAGAAAUGUUCAAUGCAUAUGUAAUUUUAAUUACAGAAGUUAUAUGCAGCUUAUAUGAGUUCAAGAUCAUAAAAUACUUCAUGGACAAAAGGAAACCCUUUCUUAUCACUGAAAUGAAAAUAGGCACUCUUAAUUUUCUAUUGUCAAAAGUAGCAAGCCAUUUUCCAAAGAAAAGGGAAGAUGGAUGGUUCCAGAAAGAAUACCUCAUCCUUUGUCAAGUGUGGAUUAUAUAGCAUCUCCUCUCCCACAGUGGUUACCUAUAAUCAAUGAGGUUUAUAAAAUCGAGCAAUCAUUUAUAUAUGUAAGAAAUGAUAGGAAUAAAGUUUUAUAUCUUACUGAGAAUCCUUUGUAGUCAUGAGCUGGAUAUAGCAAUGUCUCUUUCGGUAAUGUAAAAAUCUGGAUCCAUGAAACAAAUAAGUCCAUAAAUUUUAUUCAAAUUUUGACAAUUACAAUAAAAUUUUGAGAACUCAAAGAAUGUGACCAUAAAAAGUCCCCUGUCCUUACCUGUGAAUGCACUGACUUGUAGAGUUGCUGUGAACUUCCACCCUGCAAAAUGCAUUAAUCAGUGCUAGUCAAUGGCUACUGAAUGUGGGAGCAUUAGAGAAAAUUAUCUUAAAAACUUAAGUAUAACAAAAUUAGACAAUGACAUCCAGAUGGAAAGAAAUUGCCAGCAUAUAAGACCAGCAUUUAUGUACUCACGACUGAAAAUCCUUUGCAAAAAGUAUAGCCCUGAUAGUUCAAACUUUUACUUCAAGGAUGAUUUAAUUACUGAUUAGUUUGCCAUGAGGCUUGUGAAUGACAAACACUUUAUGUGCAACCACAGUAACAAGGUAAGCACCAAUAAGUAGAAGACUAGACGAAUAGGUAACCAAGAGUUAGAGCUAAAACAGACAAACAGAGCUACUAUCCAAUGAGCUAAAACAUACAAACAGAGGUAUAUUUUAAUAAUGAAAAUAAUCGAUUGCCUUAAACACCAUAUAGUGUUCCAAUCAAUCAAAUUAUAGCAGGCAUUAAAACCUUUCCCUUUCGUUAAUUCACAACUAUUAGCUUCAUUAAUCAAAUCCUAUGUACAGUUGAUCGAUUGAAAGUGUAACAUUUCAAAGACGAAAUUUAAACGCAAAACUGGUUAACAUUGAAAUUACAUGUAAAUAUAACCUAAAAAAUCAAAAAAUUAAUCAUAUUUUCAGAUUUCAGGCCGAAAUGGAAUGAAAUGAAAGGUAAAUCCAUUUUUUCCCCAAAAAAACAAAAAUAAAGAAAUAAUAUUUCAAGAACAGAUCAUUAAAUUCAUGGUAUAUAUAAAGAAAUUUAAUUGAAAUCAAAGGAAUAGAAGAAGGGAAAAGCGUACUUGGAACCAUUGCUGCUACUCUCUGUUACUCUGUUACCUCAUACGAUUCGUUAAAGGGUUGUUAGGGUUUGUUAAAAGGUUGGUCAGGAUAGAAGCAUGAAAAGGAGGGAGAAGGUUGGAAGGAAAUGGGAAGAAAAAUGAAAAAAAGAAGAAGAUGCUGCAACGGCUUGGAGGGUAAAAGAGGACCGAUUAGGUAAUCCUUUCUUUUGGAAGGGAUUACAAAUCGGCGCUGCAUAAGGGAAAAUGGGGAAUCAGUGCGCUGCGUAAUAGGCCCGUAUUAAGGCAAUACAGCCAACCAAACAUGGUAAUCAGUGGGGCCACGAAUUAGGGGUGUAUUGGCUAAUCCAAUACACCCAACCAAACAUGCUCUAAAGGACAAAAAAAUUUGAUUUUUUAAAUAUUAUUUUCUCUCUAUUUUGCUAUCAUUUUACUAUUAUGUUGCUACUAUGUUAUUGUUAUUUUUGAAUAUUGUAUAAAACUUAUUUUAUUGUUAAUUUUGUUAUUAUUUUAAAGACAUUUGUUAAUUUUGUUAUUAUUUUAGAGACAUUUGUUUGUUAAGUUGCAUCUAUCUUAGUGUUAUUUAAGUAUACAUAUUUUUUAAAAUUUAUUUUCAAUUUAUUGGGAAAUAUUUAUUUUGAUGUUUUUAGUAUUUUGGAUGUAUUAUAUAUAUUAAAAUUAUAUAAAAAUUAAUAUGGCCGAGCCAGGUCAGGCCCAGAUUUUAGCAUUUUUAUUCAGGUCGGGCUUGAGCAAAAUUUUAAGCCCAUUUUUUGGGCCAAACCAGGCCUGGGCUUAGCAAAUGGGCCUAAAUUUUUAGUCAAGCUCGACCUAAACCCGAUCCGGCCCAUGCUCACCUCUAGAUCAGAGCUGCCCUCGCUUUGCAUUUCUUUGAGAUUCAGUCUUAUCUACUGUUGAUUGCCCACUCAAUGGAGGGUUGAGUAGAAAGAUUUGGUGAAGCAAGCUAAGCUAUCAAUCAAGGUUGGAGAAAGCUUAGGAGGUCACAAUGCAUAAUUAUUUAAAUGUAAUUCUAAUAUUUAAAUAAAAUUUAUUAAUAUAGUAUUAACAAGCCCUAAAUGUAAUGAUUAUAUACUAUUACAUUUUUAAGAAGAGAAAACAUGUUUGAACCUUAAAAACAUCAUUAUUAAAAAUGAUAAUUACAAAUUUUAAAAUAUAAAAAAUAUAAUUAAAAAUUAAUUUUAAACCCGAGCUGGAUAAAAUUCUAAUUUUAGAUAACGAUACUAAUAAGAAAUCAAUAUUAAAAUGAAAAUGAAAAGUAAUUUAAUAUAAUUUUUGAGUCUUGGGCAAAGGCACUCAAUGAAUGCUUGGAAAGAAAUAAUGCAACUUGGUGAUAGCUUUUGUUGGAGUAAUAUGCUCUUAUUAUAGUUUUAUGUUUUUAUCUUGCAAAAACAACAUAUUGGAGUUUUCGGCAUGAUUUUUUCUUAAUACUUUACAUGAAAAAUAAUAAUGGGACUUAAAUUGCUACAAUAUUACAACACAAAGUUACAAUAAGAGCUUAUAACUCAACAAAGGCUAUCAAUAAAUAAUCUCAGGCAAGCUAAAGAGAAAUGUUGAGAAUACCACCCGAAUAGUGACUGACUUUAAAAGUUGAAAACCCGAAGCUAUAUUAUCUCAAACGAAAUCAAACCAUAAACAUUAAAAUUUUCAAGUCUACUAGUUACUGUAAAAAAUUCAGCUCCAACAGACACCAAAUGAGCCUUUGAUCGAAGAAAGUACGAAAAAUAGUCUAGGUAAACCAAGCUUCCAAACUUACUUAUCUUAUCUUUAAUUUGCAGUGAAAUUCAAAAUUAAGAUUUUGUUUAUUUCACUUGGAACAACUUUCAAAAAAUUAUUUUUGAAAAAUGAAUUGGUUUUUCGAAAUAGAUGAUAUUUUAUUGUGUCAAAAUUUUAUUCAUUGUAGGAAAACUUUUUUUAAAUCAUUUUCUUAGAGUUAUUUUUAGUUAAAUAAACAUAACAUAAAUAUAUUUGUUACAAAAAAUUAUACUAGUAUUUUCUUUUGACAAUUAAAAUUUAUUUUAUGGUAAGACAAUAUUUUAUAAUAAUUAAUAUCAUAUAUAUACGUAAUAAAAAUCAUGUUUAAUUAAAAUUUAAUUAAAAUUAGAUGUAUUAAUAAAGCUACUCCUCCACAACCCGCAUCCGCAACAGCACCAGCACCAGCACCAGCACCAGCAUCAGCACCAUGGGACAACUAUUGGGUUUCCUCCACCUGCCUCUAUCGCUCCUCCUCAGUAUUACCCCCAAGCCUACCAGACCGUGCCGGGUAUUCUACAAAUAUGAAAAAACCUUCUUCUCUUUUUAUUAGCUUAUCGAAAUGAAGGAUUUUGAGAUUUGGGCUUUUGUUAGAUGGAUGGUUAAUGAUAUUUUUUAGAUGAAAGAUACAAGUUUUUUAAUGUUUUAGAAGAAAAGGUGUUUAAAUAUUAGGAGUUUUUUAGCAGAGAAAGAAGAUAAAUAAAUGCAUAGAGAUACAUUAGCAAUAUUAUUUGGAUUUGGUUGUCUAAUGUAAUGAAGAAUUUUUUAAGGGUGACCUGAGUAGGUGUGGCAAGAUUCAAAGUUUUUUCUAUUAUAGCAGAUAUAUAUAUAUUAAUGGUUUAAGAAGACUAGAAGUCGGUUUCAAAGGAAGAUGAGAAAUAAAAGCAUUUAUAUAUAUGAUAUGUCAUUAAUUCAUAAACCAAAUAUAUAAAGUAUGUAAAAGUGUCAGGGGUUAAUCAUGGUGUUUUGACAAUCCGGUAACCUUCAACUUGAAGAAAACCUUAGGUUUCAAAAAUUUAUGUGAAGAGUUAGAAUGGUAUGCUUCAUGGAUCUGAAUAACUAGAACAGUGUAAGAGUGGUAUAUUGUGUCAAGUUUGGUUUCUUGUAUAUAAUUGUAUCGAAAACAAUGUUACAUGAGUUAAAAUGAAUGUUCAUCCAAUUUAACAAAGCCUGCAUUAUGUUGAUCAAAAUUUUUAAUUCAUGUUGAGGUUUCUUCCGUGAUAUCUUUGAUGUCAAGGUUAUGAUGUUGCUGAAGGGACACCUGUAAGAGAUAAGCCACCGUGCUGUGGCAUUGGAUUCGGAUGGUUCUUGUAAGUGUACAUAGUUUUCUUUGUUUUUAAAGAGUUCUUUACAUAUGAAGUAAAACAAGUAGCGACUUGAUGGAUAUGUCAUUAAGCUUUAACUUAAGCAAAUCAUUUUCCUUCAUCUCUAAUUGCCAUUUCUUUAAAAGAAAAAGAGGAAGUUUUGUAGUUUACAGUUUGGACAAAUGGAAGUUAAUAUAAUGCACUAUUUGGAUGGACUAUGGAGAUAUCCAAUCAUAUUGGAUGAGUUAUAAGAAACCUGUGAGUUCAUAUUGGGUUUACUUUAUAUCAUAAUUAGAUUGUUGAGCUGGCUGUCAUACUUAGAUGGUAUUUCACGUUGCUACUUGUUAAACUAUACCACUUUCACAUUCAUACGUGAAAUGGCUGGGAUUUAGUGCCAUUCUACUUAGCAGCCUCGUGUAAUACACAGGUGAAAUGUUUAUGUCUUCAUGUCACCUUAAAGUUCCCAUUUCCAUGACGGUAUUGUUAAGUAAAGACUGGUACAUACCCCAAAAUACGGAAAUUGUUUUGGAUGUAUACUAUACUUUACCAUGCAUGAUUUUUUACAAGUUUGCAUGGUAUUUUAUCAUUAUAUUGGUCUUUAUUUUCUAUACUCGCAGCUUCCAUUAAUAUAUUUUUAUGAAUUUUAUCAUUAUGCUGGUUUGAAGGUUCAUCAUUGGUUUCUUCAUUGGGGGCCAUCCCUGGUAUAUUGGAUUCUUUGUUUUACUUUGUGCAAGGAUAGACGACAGAGAGAAAGCAGGAUAUAUUGCAUGCACAAUUGCCGUGAGUAUCUUUUCUAUCAUUAUUUUUUUCUUUUCCAAUUUUAUGAAAGCCAUCCUUCCUGCCUUGUAUUGAUCAUCAAUUUAACCAUUAUAUAUAUGUAUCUUAUGUAUUUGUACCAUGCUUUAUCUUCAAUGCAAAUAUAAGUUAAACUACAAAGAUUGGAUUGUUAAAAAAAGUUUAAAAUGUUAAAAAAAUUGAAAAUUUUGAUUUUGUAAGAAUGAUAGAAAACCAAGGCCAGUGCUUGCAUAUGUUAUCUACUACAUGCACAAUCGGGUCGAUGUCUGUAUAUGUUUCAUGUUUAGAAAUCGUGUUCAAUUGGGUUACGAUAUGUACAAUUGAAGUGUCAAUUUAUAAUUUCCUUAUCAAGAUUACACAUUUUUUUGUUAAUAUUCGGAAUCACUCAAUGGUUAUAAACCCUGAUUGGAUACUGUCCACAAAGUCUAGUUGGAACAUCCCUUGUAUUCUUUGUCCUUUCUAAGAACUUUCCUUUCCAUCAUUCUCGCUUCUGUUUUUUUUUUCUUCCCUCUACUUUAAGUCAUUAUCUAACGUAGAUAUCCCUUGUAUUCUUUGUCCUUUCUAUGGCAAUCGAGUCAAUUGAUGGCAAGCCAAAAAAACAAAAAGAGCAGCUAUCCUGUCUUACUCGAUUGCCAUCCCUCCUGUUAAACACCAUUAAGAAAAGGAAAAUUUUAGUUAAGCUUUAAAACAGCCAUGUUUUAACGAUGUUGGUGAUGGUGCUUGUGCAGGCCCUUCUUGCUACAAUUACAAUUAUUCUUAGUGCAACAAUUAAAGCUGGUGGGUGAUAAAGCACACCUCUUUUGACUGAGAGAUGUAUAGGUUCCCAAAUAAUAUGUAUAUGCUCCCCCCCCUCCCUUUAUUUUAUUUUAUUUCCAGUAAGUUAUUGUUUAUGAUAAUUUGCAACAAAUGUUUUUGUCAUUAUUUUGUUGGUGAAUGAUAAUAAGAUUAAGCUUUACUUUCUUAAGCUCCAAUUCCUUGGACGUUGGUGAUUUUUUUAUUAUAGUUGAGUCAUUGUAUGGUAUUAAUAUAAUUUAUGUCGCUUAAAAUUUAUAACUAAAAAUAUAAAAUUUAAAUUUUACUUCAAUUUAUUUGUAUUUAUAAAUGGUUAAUUCAAACUUAUUUUUUUCCUCAUUAUAUUUUAUAUUUAAAUUAACAUUUAAACUAUUUUUCAUUAGCAAUGUUGUUAAGAAUUAUAUUUUUUAGCACCAACAUCAAACUUACUAAAAUUAAAUUUUUAACUAUUUAAAAAAAAUAUUUUUAGCUAUUUAUCAUCAUAGAGAAAAAAAGGUGACGUCACCACGCCUCAUGCUUCGACACCACAAACUAGACUCUCAUCACCCGUAUUUAUCAUCGAUUCAAAUUCCAGAACUACCUAAAAAUAUAUCUUCAAACUUCCUCUGGUUAAGUUCAUUGAUAGUCAACUUACUAUCAUUUCUAAAAAAAAAACAAAUAAAUUGGUUAAUAGUAAUCUCAAUGAUUCAAUUUUAUUCUUACCAGUAUCUGUCCUUUAGAAAGGGGCUUAUAAAAGGGGUAGAGGUGAGUAAACUUGAGCUUCAGCUUUCCACAAACACCUUAAUUUGAAGACACAGUUCUCUCAUACUAAAAAAGACAUGGAAGUUUACCUUGUAAUUAGAGAUUUGGUUUCAUUGCUUGUUGUUGGGUUAUUAAUGAUAUGGGGAUGCAGAACUUUAAACUGGGUAUGGCUGGCCCCAAAAAGGCUCGAAAGCUGCUUGAGACAACAGGGUUUUGCAGGGAAUCCUUACAGGUUCCUUUCUGGUGACAUAAAAGAGCUCUCAACUAUGAGCAGACAAACAAGAGCCAAACCUAUGCCUCUUAGUGAUGAUAUUGGGCCUUAUGUUGUUCCUUUUCAACAUCAAACUGCUAACCAGUAUGGUAUGUUUUUUUUGUUUAAUCUGCAAUUUAUGAUAAUUCUUUGUUAUUUAUGUAUGGAAUUUAUUGGGAGGAAAUGCAGGAAAGAAUUCAUUUACGUGGUUUGGUCCAAGACCAAGGGUGAACAUUACGGACCCUGAAAAAAUAAGAGAAAUACUUAACAAAUUUAAUGACUUCCAGAAGAUACAUACCAAUCCACUGCUUAAUUUGCUUGUAAGCGGCCUUGCUAACCUCGACGGAGACCGAUGGAGCAAGCGUAGAAAAAUCAUAAACCCUGCAUUUCAUCAAGAUAAGUUGAAGGUAUAGAAUAGUGAUGGGUAAUCAGACUUUACAGAAAACAUCAUACUUAAACCUAUGCUUUUCUGAUUUAGAAAUAAUUGGAUGCAGAAUAUGUUGCCAGCAUUUUAUCAAAGUUGUAGUGACAUGUUAAGCAAAUGGGAGAAGAUGGUGUGUACAAAAGGAUACAGUGAGUUAGAUGUGUGGCCUUAUCUCGUAGAUUUGACAAGAGAUGUGAUUUCCCGAUCUGCUUUUGGAAGCAGCUUCGAAGAAGGCAAACGAAUUUUCCAAUUACUAGAGGACCAACUCGUUCACAUAAUCAAAUUAAUACAAACUGUUUACAUUCCAGGAUGGAGGUAACCGUCAACUUAAUUUACUUGAAAAAGGUUGCAAAUGUUGGAAUUCGCUAAAUUCGUGUUUGUUUUCUUGAAGGUUUUUGCCAACGAAGACAAACAGGGAGAUGAAGAUGAAACACAGGGACAUAAAAGAGUUGCUUAUGGAAAUGAUAAAGAGAAGGGAGAAGGCAAUUAAAGCAGGGGAAGAGAGCAAUGAGGACUUGUUGGACAUACUUGUGGAAUCCAAUAUCAGAGAAAUGGAAGCAAAGAAUAUUGGGAUGAGCAUUGAGGAUGUGAUUGAGGAAUGCAAGCUGUUUUACUUAGCUGGCCAAGAGACCACUUCGGUCUUACUGGUGUGGACUAUGGUUUUAUUAGCAAGGUAUCCCGAUUGGCAAAGUAAAGCAAGAGAGGAGGUUUUGCAUGUUUUGGGUGACAGUAAACCUGACGCUGAUGGCCUUAAUCGUCUCAAAGUUGUAAGUCCCUAGCAUGUCUUUUGAAGGUCCGAUCAAUGAGGUCGACAACUCAAAAACUUUGUUUCUUUUUUCGCUAAUUCUACAGGUAACAAUGAUAUUGUACGAGGUUCUAAGGCUGUACCCACCGGUGGUUGAGCUAGAACGUUCCGUUCCAAAAGAAAUAAAACUGGGGAAUUUGUUGUUACCAGUAGGAACAGAAGUUUCGGUUCCGAUCCUGCUGAUCCACCAUGACAAAGAUCUUUGGGGCGAUGACGCACGGGAAUUUAAGCCAGAGCGGUUCGCGGAAGGGGUUUCCAAAGCAACAAAGAGUCAAGUCACGUUUCUGCCAUUCGGAUGGGGUCCUAGGAUCUGUAUUGGCCAAAAUUUUGCUAUGAUGGAAGCCAAAAUGGCGAUGGCUAUGAUUCUCCAACGCUUCUGGUUCGAGCUUUCCCCUUCCUAUGCUCACUCUCCUUACGGCAGGGCAACUCUUCGUCCACAGCAUGGUGCACAGAUAAUUUUACAUAAACUUGGCUGUAAUUGAAUUGUUAUGUAAACAAAUCUUUGUGAAAACAUAGCGUUUUAGUUUAUCGUCAAAGUCCGGUGUCUGUAAUGGUACAAAUUCGAUGCAUGAAUAGUAAAGUUUGAGAUGUUUGGUGAAGUCCGAAAUAAUAUGCAGAAAUUGAGUGUGGUAAUUAUCAAUCAAAUAAUUCGGUACAAAGACUUACAUGGAAAUUAAAGCAGGGGGAGUUGAAAAUGACUACUCUGCUUUGGGCAUCAAUUUAGAAAGAUUUAAAGUACAAAUGUGUUAUUAGUUAAGGGAUUUGUUUUAAAGAGGGAAUGACAAUUAAACCUCAUGGUUGAUUUGUGGAAGGGAACCGAUGAUGGGAUGAUUAUUCUUAGUGGUAAAAAAAACUAUUGUGGAGGUUAUUAUACUUGUUAUCAUCGGCUUAAAAUUCGAAUGGGUUCAAGUCGGAUUAUAUCGAGCUUGUAAGAUGAGUUCACGGAUCAAAUUUGCAUAAUAAAAAUACUUAAAUGAAAAAAAUUUCUAUUUUAGAGGGACCAGAGCCCCUACCAAUUCCCGGCUCAGCUACUAAACAAUACCCAUAUCAUAUAAAUAAAUACCACCAUAAAAAAAACUCAAAGAAAAACACUGACAAAUGAUAAAUAGAUAGAUGUUGGAUAAGUGUCCAAAAUAUGAUUUAAGUGAAGAUACAUGGGGUAGGUGUCACGGAAAUGUGAAUACAAGAAUACUACUAAUGGGAUGUGUACAGUUGAAUGUAGGGAGCAAAAAGAGGAGUGAAUCAUUUUGGUAACAUUGGGACAAGAAACAUAAUGAACAAAAUGGAAGGAGAGGAAGCUAGUAAAAGAAAUUUUUUGGGUCAUAUAAUUUGUUUGGCAUAUAUUUUUAUAAUUUUUAAAUAUCAUUUUGGACUUGAAUUAUAAUUUUUUUAUAUAUUAUCUUAAAAUUGUAUAAAUUUUAAGGAGUUAAAACAAAAUUAUUCUAUUUUUAGAUGGUUAAAGUAGAGAUGAUAAUGGGUUGAGCUAUUCGGCCCAGCCUGACGAUCCACCCGAAAAAUAGGAAGGUUUGGGUAAAAAUAUAGGCUUGAAAUAUGAAUUUGAGCAAAAAAAGAGGCCCGUUUAGAAAAUGGGCCGAGCCUCGGGUAAAACCUUUUGGGUCUAGACCUGACCUAAAUUAUAUAUUAAAUAUAUAUAUUUUUAUUUUUAAUCAAAUAUACUUUUGUUUUAUUAUUAAUUUGGUUAUUAUUUUAGUUCUAAUUUGUUUCAAUUUUAAUAUAACUACUUUUUAUUAUAUUUUCAAUUUGUGCAUUGUUUUAAGAAUUAUUUUAGUCUCAUUAUUUAUUUAUUUUUUAUUUUAAUAUUUGUUUUAAAAUUUUUUAUUUAUUGAAAUAAGCUAAAAAAAUUAAUAUGGGUUGGACCAGACCGGGCUCGGGCCUAGUAAUUUUCUUUUGGGCCGGACUUAAACAAAUUUUUAAGCCCAUAUUUUGAAUUGGGUCCUACACUAGAAAAUGGACCUAAAAUUUUGUAUUACCUUUAGGUCAGAGCUAUCCUCGUUUUGCAUUUCUUUGAGAUUCAGCCUUAUUUACUUUUGAUUGCCCACUCAAUAGAGGGUUGAGUAGAAAUAUUUGGUGAAGCAAGCUAAGCUAUCAAUCAAGGUGUGCAUAAUUAUUUAAAUGUAAUUCUAAUAUUAAAAUAAAAUUUUUAUUAAUAUAGUAUCAACAAGCAUUAAAUGUAAUCAUCAUAUACUAUUAAAUUUUCAAUAAGAGAAAACAAGCUUGAACUUUAAAAACGAUGUUACUAAAAACAUUAUCACAAAUCUUGAAAUAUAAAAAAUACUUUUUAAUAUAAUAAAAAAAUAAUUUUAAAACCGAGAUGAAUAAAAUUCUAAUUUUAAUUAAUGAUACCAACAACAAAUCAAUAUUUAAAUUAAAAUUUAUCUUAAUUUAAUAUAAUAAAAUUGGACUUGAAUAUUGAAUUUUUGAGUCUUGGGCAAAGUAGAGGUGCUCAUGGGCCGGGUUGGGUCGGGUUUGGGAAAAAUUUCGGCCCGCAUCCUAGGCUCGGGCUCGGCCCGACCCAAAUAUGGGCCUAAAAUUUUGUCUAGGCCUAGCCCGGCCCGGCCCAACUCAUUUUUUUUAAUAAACACCAAAAAUUUAUUUUGAAAAUAAAAAAAUAAAAAAAGUAUUUUAAAAAUAUUUUAAAAUUUUUAAAAAAUAUAUAUAUUUAUUAUAUAUUCGGGCCGGGCCAGGCCCGAGCCAAAAAAGUGGCGCCCAAGGCCCGGCCUGUUUUCUAAACGGGACUCAUUUUUUACCCAAACCCAUAUUUCGGGCCUAUAUUUCUACCCGAAUCUCUCAUAUUUAGGGCGAACCGUCGGGCCGGACCGGGCCGCCCGGCCAUGAACACCUCUAGGACAAAGUCACUCAAUGAAUGCAUGGAAAGAAAUAAUGCAACUUGGUGAUAGCUUUUGUUGGAGUUAUAUGCUUUUUUUUUACGUAGUGGAACUUUCGGUGGAUUUUCAAGUUUCAUGAACUUUAUACUCUAUGCUUUACGUGAAAAAAAAAAUUCAUUGGACUUAAAAGUCUACCAAAAGUUUCACUAAAAAAAAAACCAUUGCUACAAGAUUACAACAUAAAGUUACAAUAAGAGCUUAUAACUCAACAAAGGCUAUCAAUAAAUAAUCUCAAACAAAUUAAAGAGAAAUGUUGAGAGUACCACUCGAAUAGUGAUUAACUUUAAAAAUUGAAAACCCAAAGUUAUAAUAUCCCAAACGAAAUCAAACCAUAAACAUUAAAUUUUUCGAGUCUACUAGAUACUGCAAAAAAUUCAGCUCCAACAGACACCAAAUGAACCUAUGAUCGAAGAAAAUACGAAAACUAGUCUAGCUAAAUCAAGCUGCCAAACUUACUUUUUAUCUUAUCUUUAAUUUGCUGUGAAAUUCAAAACUAAGGUUUUGUACUUAGAACAACUUUCAAAAAGUUAAUUUUGAAAAAUGGAUUGAAUUUUCAAAAUAGAUGAUAUUUUAUUGUGUUAAAAUUUUAUUCGUUGUUUGAAAAAAAAUUUAAAUCAUUUUCUUAGAAUUAUUUUUAGUGAAACAAACAUAUCAUAAAUAUAUUUGUUAUAAAAUAUUUAUAUUAAUAUUUUCUUUUAACAAUUAAAAUAUAUUUUGUGAUAAGGUAUAUUUUAUAAUAAUUAAUAUCAUAUAUACUUAAUAAUAAAUCAUGUCUAAUUAAAAUUUAAUUUCAAUUAAAUAUAUUAAUAAAGCUACAUAUAAUCAUAUUUUAUAUAAUAAAAAUAUUAAUAUAAAUAUUUUUUUAAUAAUAUAUUAAAGAAUAUUUAAAAUUUAAAUUUAUUAUUACUAAGAUUAAUUAUUAAAAUAAAAAUGUAAUGUUAAAUAAUUUAUCCAAUGAUAAGUUAUAUUAAUAAUUUAUUAUAUUAUUAAAUAUAAAUAAUUAAAUAUGUAUGUUUAAUAAUAUUAUGUUAUAAUAUUUAUUAUUAAUAUUUUAAUAUUUUUAAACAACCAUGUUUUAAAGAUGGUGGUGAUGGUGAUGGUGCAGGCCCCCUUGUUACAAUUACAAUAUUUUUAAGUGGGAUGCAUGUAAUAUAUUGUUAGGGUUUUAGAGUGUGUGGUCUUUAAAAGGGUUAAAUUAUAUAUUUAUAUAAUAUGAUUAUUGUUUAUAAAUAUAAUAUUGUAGAUAAACUUUUAUGCAUGUCAAUAUGUAUCCUACUCUGGGGUUAAUAUGUAUUUUUAGAUAUGGAUUCACCUAUAUAAUAGUAUGAAUCCAUCAUGCGGUCUCAUGAAAUAUACAAACACAUAUCGUGCGAACACAAAGUACGAACAAUAAAAAGUACAAAUCAAGACCAAUUGAGUAAUUGAAUAGCAGAUAGGUAAUAAUGACUAUCCCCUCUUGUUUGAAUUUAUUUUAUUUCCAGUGAGUUAUCGUUUAUGAUAAAUUUACAACAAAUGUUUUUAUCAUUAUUUUGUUGGUAAAUGAUAAUAAGAUUAAACUUUACUUUCUUAAGCUCCUUCAAUUCUUUGGACGUUAGCAAGUAAACUUGAGCUUCAGCAUUCCACAAACACCUUAAUUUGAAGACACAGUUCUCCCAUACUAAAAACAACAUGGACGUUUACCUUGUAAUUAGAGAUUUGGGCUCAUUGUUAGGUUAUUAAUGAUACGGGGAUGGAGAGCUUUAAACUGGGUAUGGCUGGCCCCAAAGAGGCUCGAAACGUGCUUGAGACUAGAGGUCCAGGCAAAUUUUUAGGCCCAUUUUUUAGGCCUGGACUGGGCCCGACUCGAAAUAUGAGCUUAAAAAUUUGUCUAAGUUCGGUCCAAAAGAAAAUUGUUAAGCCUAAGCCCGGCCCAUAUUAAAUUUUACAACACCAAAAAACUAUAUAUUUAAUAUAUAUAUUUGAUUAAAAAGUAUAUUUAAUUAAAAAUAAAAAUAUAUAUUUAAUAUAUAAUUCGGGCCGGGCCGAACUCGGGCCAAAAAAGUUUUACUCGGGGCUGGUCCGUUUUCUAAACAGACCUCGUUUUUUUGUCAAAAUCCAUAUUUUAGGCUUAUAUUUUUACCCGAAACUUCCUAUUUUUCGGGUGAACCGUCAGGCCGGACUAGGUAGCCCAACCAAUGAUCACCUCUACUUGAGACAACAGGGUUUUGCAGGGAAUUCUUACAGGUUCGUUUCUGGCGACAUAAAAGAGCUCUUCACUAUAAGCAUACAAACAAGAGCCAAACCUAUGCCUCUUAGUGAUGAUAUUGGGCCUUAUGUUGUUCCUUUUCAACAUCAAACCGUCAAUCAGUAUGGUAUGUUUUUUAAUUUAAUCUGCAAUUUAUGAUAAUUCUUUGCUAUUUAUG
RNAcentral lists this long non-coding RNA (54140 nucleotides) under Gossypium barbadense (sea-island cotton). Its description in RNAcentral is "long non-coding RNA (GBAR_LNC013164)". Lineage: Eukaryota; Viridiplantae; Streptophyta; Magnoliopsida; Malvales; Malvaceae. The record is from RNAcentral.